UCAAAGUAAGGAGGAUGAGCAGCAGUUUUGGGCGCUUUAGGCUUCUUUUCUUUAGGAGCUUUAGGCUUUUUCUCCUUAGCAGGCUUCUCGGCUGGCUGCUCCGCAGGGGGAGCAUCAGCCGGAGGCUGCUCAACGGCAGUUUUCUCAGCAUCUCCGGUGGCCGACAUCGCGAAGUGUCACAAGAAACAACGACAGAGUGAACGAUACGGUAAUAACCUUUCUGACUUUGCGUGAAUAAUUUUCCACGUAGCUGUCAGCAUUUAUAGGAGGGAGCGAUCUGCGUGAAAUGGGGUUUCUGGAUUCUGAUUGGUCAGCUAAGAGUGACGCGGAUCGAGGAGUUUUAGAAUCAGUGUUUUGAAUCGUACACGUGGGCGAUUAUGGGUUGUUGAUCGAACACUGAAUAGGAUUUUUGGGGUGCCAGUCUUGUCUGGAAUGGAUACUUCAAUACUAAGGCCGCUGGUAUUUUUUCACGCAUAGCUUGUGAGAGGGGUGUGUUUUCUUGGUGCAUUUGGGGAUAAUUUACAGAAGCAUUUUUUAUGAUUUGGACUUGGAACUUUUAUGAGGAUGAAAUUUAGAAAAUUCUGGUUGUAAUGUGGGUGGUUUGAGGUAAAUUGGUUGGAAUUUGGGUGGGUUUUGAAGGCGUCAAAUACAAACAGUUUGAAGUUGCUUCUUCAGGCUUAGUACUGCCUUUCUGGAACUCCAUUACUCCGUAUCAUUUAUCUUCGUAGUUAACAAACCAGCUAGAUGGAGGAUUUACCCCACACUCUUUUAGAUUCGUUUUUGUAAAAGGUCAAAAGAAAUGUAGAUGAAACAUCCCAAGUAAAAACCAGCAGAUCCAAGUUGUACAUCUACUUUUGAUGUAUUGUGGUGACAAGGCUCUUUUAUUUUAGGAUAAUAAAAGAAUCAAGAAUCAUUUUUUAUUUUUUAAUUUUAGAAUCUUCUAUUUAUAAUCUCUCCUAUCUUACCAUCUAAACCAACUCUAGAAGUAUGCUAAUUUUACAUCUACAUAAGUUAUCAACAAAAUGAUGAGUUUAUGUAGAUGUAAAAUUUGACCUAGUUUGACUCGUCAUGAAUUAAAUAGAUUGUCUGUGUCGCUUCUCACGUGACAAGUAUAACAAAAAUCUUAGGACUUAUUCUUGAUUAUUUAGAUAUUACAAAAUUUGAUUAUAGAAAUUAAUCAUACAGAACAAUCACAAUCAGCAACAACUACUCAUUUGGUGAUUAUAGAUUUUAGUUUUUUUAAUCAUUAAAAAACCAAAAAUCAUAAUACAAAAGGAAUCGAAAAACAUCACAAAAACUAAUUAUUCAAAACAAUUUACAAUCAGGUAAAAUAGCUACUUUUUAGGUGAUUAUAGAUUUUAGUUUUUUUUUAUCAUUAAAAAAUCUAUAAUCAGAAUAAAAAAAAAAUAGAAAACAUCACAAAAACUGAUUAUUCAAAAUAAUUUACAAUCACUUAAAAUAAUCAAUCUAAAACAAGCCCUUAAUUCUGAAUCAUCUAUUGCUAUUCCUUGGUUUGUUACUGGAAACCGACAAUUGAUUCAAUCAGCUUCAUUAAAUUUUCUCUUACCGAACUAAUGUAGUAAGUAGAUACUGACCAAAGAAAGAUUACCGGCAGUUCUGAUUAGGAUCAUGGGAGCGAUUAAGCAGAAGCGUCAACCCAAAUUGAAAAGAGACCUACACCUCCUCUUUGUUAUCCGGUUCAAAGUUCAAAUUACGACGUCAGAGAAACGCUGACCCGUUAAAUAAGCGACCAUUGUAAGAUCUCAUACUCAAAACGGCCGCUGUUCGGUCUUCGAACCACCCAAAAACGCCAUAGUUUCCCCUCUUAAAACCCGCUACGCUCACCGUUUAUACUACUACAACUUACAGCUACAAAAAUCGAACGCUCCAAAAAAAAAAAAAAACUAGUAGUAAAAGACUGAGGGAGGAGGAGGAUUCGGCCGUCGAAUCUCAACCUCUUUCUCCCUCUCGAGCAGAGCUGCGAAGAAUCUGGCUGCAUUCCGUCAUCUCUCUCAGCUCUGUCUCUCGUGUAAGUCUUGACGAAUCAAAUCAAGUUUUUUUUUUUUUUUUUGCUUCGCAUUUAGACAUUCCGAUCUGCUUAGUUGCUUAUUCAUUUCCUCAUUUUAGGCGUUUUCCGGCGCAUACUCUUAACCUAGCUUUCCGAUCUUCUGCAUUUCAGAUUUCAUACAAGUCUUCUCGGAUUUUUCUUUUUUAUUUUUUGAAAUCUUAGCUGUGUGAAAAAAGAGCUUAGAUGAAGCUGCAUUACUUAUUUUUUAUCAUAAGAACGUCGUGCGUUUAUUUCUGAAUUAUGCAAAUAGUUGAGUAAGUCAGAGUACAGGAAAUUGGUCAAUGAUUUAGUUCAUUACUCUUUGGAUUACCUUUUGGUUUUCAUGUUGGUGAUAUUACGUUUUUAGAGGUUUAAAUUAGCUGUUGCAGAUGUACUUUUUCAUAAUGAUCUGGAAAUUACUUUUAGUCUGGUGCUUGUUUGUACUUAAUACAGUAUGUGUUUAUGUAGCUUUUAGAACUAAAGUUGCUUUUAUUUCCUGAAAUUACUUUAUGCCGUUUAAGUUUGCUGUAAAAUUGGCUUCUGAACUUUCCAACUCCAAAUUUGUCAGUAAGUGCCUUCACAGUAUAGGAGUAUUAUUUAGUCUUUGACUCAUGAGUCCAACUGUAAGAGAUACCGUUCUGUGCUGUAUUUGUGCUUGGCUACUUGAUUAGGAGAACUGGGAAAGCAAAAAUAUAGCUGGUGGUUCAAUGAGGAGUUGGGGGGGGGGGGGCACGGCUAUGUUGGGAAGAAAGAAUUAUGAGUUUUGAGGUAAUUUAGGGUGAAUAUUUGAGUCUCAUUGGGAACGUCCAAGAACACUGUAUGAAUUUGAAGGUGUAACUUGUUAUAUGUUUUGCUAGAUGUUGAAUUUUUUAGUUAUUUUUAUCGCAUGCAUCCAAUCCUACUAAAAGUUCAGCGAACUUAUUACAUGUGCUCAACAAAGUGUAGCUCAAGCUCUGGGUGACUGCAAAGUACUUUCCAAAGUUAAGAUUCUGUAGUAUUAGUCUGGACAAAUGAAAUGUUUAGUAUUUAAUCAACAAUAUCUAGUCCAGAAAUGACUCAUCAACUGAACAUUUUCGAGCUUCUGAUAGCUUUAUUGUUUUACGAUCUGCAUUUUUGGAAUAUUUUCUUUAGUUUUCAGAUUGUCUAAGAAGUGAUAUUUUUCCUUCUGCAGAUAUUUCCUUUUCAGAAAUGGAUUAUUAGUUUCACCAGCUUGGCUAGUGAUGGUAUGAGAUUGUACUUUUCACCGUCCAGUUCUCACAUUUCUGUUUCUUAACAUUCUUUCACUUGACAUGCUUUAACUAAUGAUGGUUGAUGUGCUAUUAAGAAGGGAUUGACUCCUUGCAUGGUUACUACCCUGUCUUGAUUUACAUCUUGUUGCAAUUGAUACAUGGAAUCAAAGAUGACUACAUGAUAAUAUUAACUUCAGAUACAAAUUUAUUAAUCCUGUACCUUAAUAAAUUAAUAAUUGACUGGCUAGCUUAAUAUCUCUUGCAUAAUGCUUUUUCUCAUUUCUCUUUUCGCCUUUGAAGUCUUCGUUGUCAAACUGUCACAAUGAUACCUGAUUGUGCUUGAUAUCUUGUGCUUUAAUCCAAGGACCACAAUCACUUAUCGAUAAAGACAUAUAUGGCCAUCACGGCUGAGCGAGAUGCGGCCAUCCGGGAAAGGAACAUGGCACUGGAGGAGAGAAAGAGGGCCUUCUCUGAGAGAGACAUGGCAAUGCUUCAGCGGGAUGCAGCUAUUGCUGAACGUAAUUCUGCCAUACAAGAACGAGAUGAGGCCAUUGCUGCUCUGCAAAUAAGGGACUGCUCUGUAAAUAAUAUGCUUUCUGACUCCGCUGAGGAUGGGGUUGCAGAUGGAACCGAAGACAUGCAUUACCAGCAUAUGCAUCACGCUAUGGUUAAUGCUGCAUUUAGUCCUAGAGAUAUUCUAACUAGUGAGACCUUUAAUAGUACACAAGUUGCUUCUGAAACUGCGAAAGCCACGAAAGUGAGGCAGCCAAAGGAAGGUAAGAUGACAAAAUCAGUCAAGUCUCCAAGGUCGCCUAAAAGACGGGCUGAAGGCAUGAUUAAGCCACUAACUCCUGCUUCAUCAAAUGGUUGGAAUGCUGGCCAUGAUUUGAAACGCGAGGAAGAAUUAGAAGGGCAUCUUGGUACGUGGAAGGAUAAUAUAGGCUUGAAUCAAAUAAACUUUGACGAAACUUCCAUGCCAGUGCCAGUUUGCUCCUGCACUGGAACACCCCAGCCUUGUUAUAAGUGGGGGAAUGGUGGAUGGCAGUCGGCUUGCUGUACAACGACCAUGUCUGUGUAUCCGUUACCUCAGGUAUCUAAUAAGCGGUAUACCAGAGUCGGUGGCAGAAAGAUGAGUGGAAGUGCCUUCAAUAAAUUGCUAAAUCGACUUGUUGCCGAGGGUCAUGACCUGUACUCUGCUCCACUUGAUCUGAAGGACCAUUGGGCAAAGCAUGGCACGAAUCGGUAUAGCACCUUGAAGUGACUCCAGAAUGACCUGCUGUCAGUGUUGCACACAUGUUGGACGGUUUAUGUAUGGUGCAAUCUUAUACCGCCCAUUAGCGGAGAUAUUGGAGGGGCUCAACUCUGAAUUCUGCUGGUGCUCAUCAAAUCCCAGAUUAUAAACAAUGGAAAGGAAAAUAUACAGAGCUCAAAAUUUGUUUUCCAUGUUCUGUUGUAUUUUGUUUGGUGUUGCUAUGGAUUAGGACAAAAAUUUGUUGUUGGGCAUACAUGAUACGGGGAGAAAGAUUAUGUAUAUGAAAUCUGAAUACUCAAACAGCUAUAUACCAAUUGAACCUGAAGCUGCAAAAUCUUACCACCGGAGCGAAUGCUGUAAUUUGGCACCUUCAAUACCAGUUGUUUUUCUUUCUUUUCUUUUUUUUCAGUCCAAGACGUUUUAUUUUCACCUUCAAGUAAUUGGAAGCAGUUUCUUGAAAAAUUACGAAUUCAGUAAUUGUCCACGCUUGCACAAAACGCAUUCGCGUUCCAGCCGUAAGCCCCGACUCCAGAUUGGUUUUCUGAUUUGGCUAAUAGACGGGCAACUUUUCCUUUGCAUUUGACUUGAAUUGAUAUAAAUUUAUUCUUGUUUCAGAAAAUUGAAAAUCCGCGAAGGACUCUUCAACGCUAGGUGGCACAUUUUUUAGGGCAAAUUUUCGUGACCGUGGAUUUGAUCCUCAAGGCAAGAAGCCAUCAGCCAUUCAGACUCGGAAAAUGUUUCAAAGUCCCAAUUUUCCAUAUUCUCAUUUGGAUUGCCACGCUGUGGAGAAUAAUUAGCUUCAAUUUGUCCUUUUUUUUUUUUUUUGAAAAAUUUAAUUCCCUAGCAUCUUCAAAUUCUACACCUUCUGAGCCUGGGAAAAAAUGUUUGCACUCUCUUGAGAAAAGAGAGAAAUUGACUUAUUAAAUCUCAGCCACCAAAUUGAAUACUUAUAUUAGAUCCGAUAAAGUUAAACGUGCCGUGACGCGCAGUGAUCAAGCCAACGCUAGACUUGAUCACAGACUCGACAAUCCGGGAAAGCAAAUAAAUUCAGAUUCCACACUCAUGCGACUUAUUUAAACAUUAAAAAAAAAAAAAACCCAAGGUCUACUCCAUAACAGAGGCACUUCCAGGGUUUUAAAACCCUCCUCGCGAAGCUAAAAACAUUCAACCAACCAACCAACCUUUUAGAGACAGACUUGCAUAAUCAAUGCCUAAUAUUAUAAAAUCAAAUGCCAAUCUAUAUCAAGGUUGUUAAUUCACAUUAAUUACAAGGCCAGAAAAGGACAACUUCUAUGCUGUGAAUCCCAGACUGGACAACGAGUACACAACCAGAAUGGCUAGACAAUCAACAGUAAUUAAACCAAACAUGCCAGACCAGCCAAUGCAGACUAAUACAACUCCAAGCAAGCCUCUUGUGGUUCCAAUCCCUAUAUAUCAUUUACCAUGCAACCACAAUUCCUAUAUAUCAUUUACCAUGCAAAACUCAACAAUACUUCAUUUGGCCAAAUUUGUCCUCAGACACCAGCAGUACCACCUUCCUUCCUUCAGGAGUAUUUUGUAAAAAGAUAAAAUAAACUAGGAAAAUAAAAAUGAAAGAUGAAAUGAAUGUCUAAAAAACCACAAUGAAACAUCAAAAGGCCCAGAAAACUAGAAACAGGAUCUUUCUCCAGUUUUAAUCUUCGAUAAAAACUACGGUUCCUACAGGUAAUCCGUCUGGAUAACAAAUUUUUCUUCUUCAAAGUAGCUAUUAAUGUCGACUACAGGACAUUGUCGACUUAUGCAACAUCAAUCAAGUAUCUAUUUCCAACCACUCAUGUUUGUUUUGACAUUGAACUUCAUAAUUUAACAAUUACCACAAUCUGAUAAAAAAAUAAAAAAAAACCUAUGUUCGCAAGAUAACAAAGCAUUCCCUUCAGACAGCACCAAAUGCUCAUCCACGUAGAACAGGGAAAAAAAAGGAAAAAAAAAAAGAAAAGCAAAGAGCAUCCUCAAUCAUUUACAAUAUAACCAUUUAACCUCAAUAUGAGUUGCAUGUGAGACUACGCAUUUCAAUCUUCUAUAAAACUCUUGGAUGAUAGGUUUUUACAUCGAAGUAACUAUUUCUGUCUCUAUGAGACUUUGUGCAUUCAUGAAAGACUAAUCAUACAUCCAUCCAGUAUCUGACUCCUACAAUUCAUGUUUGUUUUGCUAUCAAACUUCAGAGUCUAAUAGUUUUCCCAAUCUCAUAUUAAACCCUACAUCAAAGCAUUCCCUUUGUACACUAACGGUAGCACCAAAUGCCCAUCCAUCAGGGGGAAACUUAAAAGCCAAAAAACCUCAAUCAUUUAUCAUAUGAUUACUUAACCUCAAAAUGAGUUGAAUGUGGGAUACUGGGCACUGAUACCUGCUAAACUUACUAGUUUACGUAAGCAUCAAAACUACUUAGUAGCAGGAAUUUGAUAUGAUAAUCACUAAUAAAGCUUUAGCUACAAAGAGGCAGUAACCGCAUCUUAAGUUUAGACCUUCAUGCCUUUUAACCAAGAAAAUGUAGUGCACUCAAGCCUAGCAAAAUUCUAUUACAUAUAUAACCAUAGCAUAUCGUAACCAGCAAAUCACAAAGUCCAACUCAUAUCCUUUUCAAAGCUACAGAAGAAACUGGAUCUGAUUAAAAGAAUACUGCAUGGUUAUUCAGAGUCAUAAAUCAUGCUCUUAUAAAUAGGCUUGACUUAUGUAAUCUUUUAACCUCUGAUACAAUUGGUAAGGUAAUAUAAAAUCAUCACAUAUCAUGUAUCUCCAAAGAGGUAGAAAACUCCACAAUGAUCGACUAAGAGAGUGUCAAUGCCUACAUAAUUGUUGCUUCAAUCCACUGACACUUUUAAGAACGUCUAUACAUGAUAAAUCCGUCAUUGCGGUAUAAGUUUUAUCACCAAUAGAAAACAACUCCUGUCAAAGGCAUAGUUUACCUGAAUAUAGACGUUCAUAAUCAAACUCAGCAGCACCUCACAUUUACCCAAAAAAACCACAAAAUGCCAGAGAAAAUAUAUUCCUUCUCCAUAAUAUAGUAAUAAAGUGUUUAAGCUCAAAUUACAGCUUAGAAAAGAUCUAUACUUGAGUUACAGAAACAUAAAAUCAAAACCUACAAGUUGAACUAAAAUAUGCCAUCAAGGUGAUCUCCACCAAGUUGUCAACUUAACAUCAUCAUUGCAGCAUUAUGCAACAACCAUAAAUAAAAUAACUUGAGCUGAAUCUUUAUCACCUCAAAGGACAAUAGCAUGCCCAACUUAUUCCCUUGAAACAGAAUCAAAACAUGUACUUUUUGUCCAUAAAAGGGUUAUUACUAACAAGGAAAGCAAGUGUCUUCCUCAUCUGGACUGCUAACUCCCCAAACUGCUUCCACCUAGAAAAAAAGGAGCUCAUACCUAUUUAAGUCUCCAACUUAGAAACUGAGUACCAGUAUCUACAAACGUCCAUCCAAGAGACAUGGCUGACAAUCUAAGACCAAAUAUUAUAUGACAACCAGGAUUGGUAAGAGGUAGAGAGACAAGAGACCAGAUGAUACAGCAAAAACGGGGAGGGAGAGAGAGAGAGAGAGGAAAAAGUAGAAAACAGAAUCACAUCCCAGCAGCAGCCGUACGAACUAGACCUGAAGAAAAAUGCAAAAACCAUAAAACUUAAGUGUGAACAACCCAACAAGAACACCUAUACGCAGUUGUGCAAGUGUAUUACCUAAAGUUCAUCAUGUCUAAUAGUAAUAUCCACGUCCAUAUGGACGAUCACCUCCAUAAAAUGAUGGAUAUGCUCCUGCACCAUGCUGCAAAAUAGCAAGAGAAGAGUCCAAAUCAUAAAGCUGUUAAGACGUAGAAUGCAUUGUGGAAGGAAUAUGACCAUCAUACGCACAUCAGAGCCAUAGUAAUCUUGUCGAUAAGGCCCACGAUCAGCUUCAAACCCACCUAACAUCAAAUAGGAAACAAGCAUAGUGUUAUGAGAAGUGAUUACAAAUCAAGAAGCAAAAUUUAAGAACAUAAUAGGAAUUUCUGAACCUCGGUAACGACUUCCAUGAAAAGAAGCUGAAGCGUCAGGAUACUCAAACCGAGGGCGACGAGUGCUUGGCUCCACAUAAUCUGGAUCCUGAUCCUAGGAACAAAAAGAAACAUUGUUAACUUGGAAAAAAAAAAUUGAAGAAUCUGAUUUCCUCACAUAUCUUAUCCCAAGGUUUCUGUUCUAGCUUACUGUCAUAAAAUACGGUCGUUUAAUUCCAUGGGCAGGGUCAUCAUAAUAAUAGGGGUCAUCAAAGUGUCUUCGAAAAUAUGGCUCAUUGAAUCCUUCCUCUGGAGGGAAAGGCUGCCUCCUCAGUGGAUCAUGAACACCAUGGCCACCAUGUCUACUUCUAUCCAUGUCAGGCCGACGUGGCAGCGGACCUCCACUAUAUCCUUGUUGAGGCCUGAAACCCCACCUUCCUCCUGUUUAUGCAACAGAGUCCAUCAUAAACUUGCUCCAGCAGGGAAAUAGGAAAAAAAUGGUUCUUGAUCUUGUAUAAAUAAGCUAACAACUAUCAUAAAAAUUCUCCUCCUCCAUGCAAAGGGUGUGAAAUUGUAUAUCUAACCAUGCGCAAAGCUUUGCCUUCCAUGCAAGGGAUAUUCAUUAUCAAGUUCACGAUCAUUUAGAGAACCAAUUCUACCACCACGUCCAGGUCCACGUGGAUAAAAACCCCUGCCAUGCUGGAAGCUUGGUCGAUCGAAGGCAUGACCACCUCGACCAAAACCCCUUCCUGAAAGCACAAGACCACGUCAUACUGCAAUUGAGUAUUUGAAUAUAAAAGAAGUCGACAAAAUUUCCAUACCAAAUCUGGGGAAAGUCCCGCCACUGCUUCGAGCUAUUCUAAAACCUCCAGACAUACUGCCUUUUACUGCCUGAGUUUUAGGCAACGGAUUUGAAAGUCUUGCUCUUACUUUUGCCUAAUUACAGAGAAGAAAAUGUCAAAAGCUGAAGAGGUUGCAUCUAGUAGAAAUUACGUAACAAACAGGACAAAAUUAUCAUGACUCAUCCUCUGGGUCAUGUCAAGAAAUGCGUGUCAAAGUUCUGAAAGCAUGAUAUUAACAUAGGUCACUGAAAUAGUUCUAAGAUGCGAUUUGGAUGGAUGGAGAUUAGAAAUGGACAUAUUUAUGGGGUUGUGCAGUACUAUGUUAAUAUAUGCUGGUAGAACUACUCACAUACAAUCAAACAAAACCAUCACUGUUAAUUGCAAGACUCACUAGCUGCAGAUGCCCUUUAAGAUCGCAAAAAAUUGAAGCAUACCUUUGAGUUUCCAUCACCCAGUUCCAUGUUGUUUACUUCCUCAGUGCAUGAAACAGCAGCUUCAUGUGUAGUGAAAUCAACAAACCCGAAAUCCUUCCUCUUGGCUGUAGACAUAUUACGAGCUAGCAUUACACGUGCAAUCUCCCCAAAACGUCUAAAUGUCUCUCUAACUCGAUCUUCAUCCCAAUAAGGAGGAAGCCCAUCAACAAAUACUGAUUUAACCUGGGCCAUCACUGCUGGGUCUGGCUCACGCAGAGGUUCAGCAAAAGCCACCUUAGCAGUUCUCUCAGCAUGGCCAAAAAUAGCAUCAGGCUUUUGAAGUCUCUUGUAUGCCAGCAUAGCUUCUGCAUGACAAGAAAACUCAAGAAAUGCAAAACCGCGACUCAGCCCUUCGUGUUUGGGAUCUGCCACAAGAGUGAUGCUUUCAACACUUUCUAUGCCAUACUCCUUCAGCUUGUCUUUUAUCUGCCAUCGGUUAUGAUAGAAUUAGAAAAAAAAAUUUCUAAAAGUGCACCAUCCAAAGAUAAAUAUUAAUCUUACAGCUUCUUUUGUCCAUGUAUUGCAAAUAUUGCCAACAAACAACGUAUCAUUGUCCUCACUUGGAGCAGUCCCACAUCGCUUCCCACGUAUCUGCAUUACAAACCAAUAAUUGAGUAUUUAUACAAUUUUCAGGUAUAUGAAAGUGCAUAAGUCUGCAACAGAGAAUGAAUUUUUCAGUGUGUGAGUCAAAGCACACCAUCUAAAGAUGCAUCUUACAACAGGGUUUUUCAUUUCCGACAAAGCCCUGUUUGCUUCUUCCUUAGUUGAAAACCUGACAAAUGCAUAACCCUUAUUCUUGUUGGUGGAGGGAUCCUUGUGUAGGCGGACAUCAACCACCUCUCCAGCAUAUUUAAACACCCUCUUAAGAUCUUCUUCGGUAACAUCACGAUCCAACCCACCAACAAAAAUCUCAAGCUCUUUCCUCAACUUACGCUCCUUUGCAGCAGCAUUUAGUUCCGCACGCUCCUCUUCCAAAGCUUCUUCACCUUGCCCUAUCCUGUCAUCUUCAGCAAACUCUUCUUGGCCAAGUUCAUCAUGAAUCUCUUGAUCAGCCUCUGAUCUGUCAUCAUCUGCUUCUGCUAAAAGACCAUCAAAGUCAGUCAUCUCUUCUUUGGGGUCUUCCUCCAUUUUAUCUUCCUCAGUCAUGUUCUCCACUUUAUCCUCAAUAAGUUUCUCCUGCUCCUCUUGUUGGUCUAUCAUAUUCUCUUUCUCAUUUGGUUUAGUAGGUACAUCGUCCUCAAAAUGUUCAGAAUCUACAGAAGUCGAUCCCUGUUCUUUCUGAUCAAAUGGUGCACUUUCCGUGACUGAUUCUUCUGCCUUGUUCUUCAAUGACUCUUCAACAUGCAAAAAAAUUUUCUCCUCAUCAACUCCCUCAACUUUGUCAACGUUUGGUCCUACGCUUAUUACUGGUCUGUCAAUAUUUCCAAGGCUAAUUCCAUCAUUUUUAGCAGUCUCAGCACCCUUUGCCACUGGUCCUCUAUUUGCAGCAUCUAAGACAUCAUUCUCCUUCUUGGAUUCAUCAGCUAUUGCAUUUUCAGCUUCCCCAGACCUUUUCUUCAGUCGAGAAGCUGGUCUAGCAACAGUUCUUCUUAUGAUCCUCUUUACAACUCUUUUAGUAGUUUUCGUCCCCGAAGCAGGUUUACUUUCCCCUGUCACCUGAACAGCACCAUCAUUCGUUGCUUUUGCUCCUUCAACUGCACAAGAAAUAAAUAAGUUAGAAACUCACACUUAAUUGCAGUGAAUGUGCAAACAAAUAUAUAUAUAUAUAUAUGUCCGAAUAUUAGAAGCUAAAAUGAAUUUACUGGCAACAAAAAGUCCCUAAUUCCCGAAAUUUGUAACUCAAAAUAAUCAGAGAAACAACUAGAUGUCAAGGAAAUCUUUAUGCGCAAUGCAAAAUUGCUUUUCUUGACAAUCACAAGAGCCUAUAUACCUACUUGAAGCAGACAACCUCAAAACUUACAAUUCAUCUAAGUAGAUAAACCUAAAUUUUAUUAAGAAAUAAGUUAAACUUAUUAUCAAUAUGGAUGAAACUGUAUCAGAAUCAGAAUAAUCCAAAUAUCACCUGCUGAUGCUGGUUCCUGCGUAGGCAGGGCGGUGGUUACGGGAGCGCUUAUGGUCUCGACGGGCUUAGUUUGCUGUCCUUUGAGGGCGGGGCUAGGUCUCGCUUCGGAGGACUUGGGUGGUAAGGUCGACGUCGCCGGAGCUUCAGCCAAUGCUGCGGACUCGGCGGAGCUGGGCGUGGAUUGUGAUUUUAAGGAUGUUUUCUUCGCCGGCGGCGUCUUCUUCGGUGUUGCGCCUGUAUUUCGAGUUCUCAUAAUUUGAUUGAAUUGUAACAGUUACAAUCGGUUUAUACCGGGGGAGGAUUGUCAAAAACCCUAUACAGUUAAGAGAGACUUGGAGAGCGGGGAAGGCAGCUUCGAUAAUCUAAUCGUAUCGCUUUGGUCAUUUAUACUGGUAACCGACAGAAGCUGAAGUCGGACACGAUACGACGUUGCUCUGUAUUCCAUAAACACCGUAAAGGUUUUCAUUUUUUUUAUUCCUUUUUUGGGAAAAUUUUCAGAAAGGAAAUGGUAAAGUGGUAACAACCGAAAUGCAUAAUUAAGGUGUAAUUUUUGAUAAAUCUGUGGAGGGGAUAUGGGUUAUUAUUCAUAAAUAAUAGUAAAAGUAUUCAUCUUGCAAAUAAAUUUAUGAAAUUAAAAAGUUCACAUUUUUAUUUAUUAAGAUGCACACUAUAAUUAACCGAAAUGCAUAUUAUUGCGAGGGUAGUUUUAUUCAUCCAACGAUAAAUUUAUUUUCUUUUUUGUAAUCCAUAAUAGUAACCCAUAUCCUAGUCACAAAUAUCCCAAAAUUACAUUAUGAAUUUCAAUUCUUCUUAUUUCCUUUUUCCAAAAUUUUUUUCCUAAAGAAGAUUGUAAAAACAAAAUAGGUUAAAAUAUUGAAUUGGCUUUCCAAAAUGAAGUUGCUUCACACACACACAUAUAUAUAUAUAUAUAUAUAUUUGGCAAAAACGAUAAUAGUAAAUAACUUUUUUUACGAGUGGGGUUGUGAACUCAAAACCUCUUAUUUAUAUUUUCUCUUGUUUUAUCAUCCAAUCCAAAUCUAUCUUCCAUUCAAAAUAAUUAGGGAUAAUUUACCUCCCUUGAUGAUAGACAAUAACUAUAAUAACCUUUAUAAUUUUUCAAAAGACAAGUCAUUGAUAAAAAAAGGAAAAAAUAACAGAAAAAUGGAAAACCAUUCUUCUUGACCAGGCCAUAUAUUGUGGCCAAACAAUUUCAGUUAUAAUCAUAAAAAUUGUAACAUUCUAUCACUUAAAUAUGCUAAUCAAGGUAGUUGUCUCCUUCCUUCUAUCACUCAAAUACGCUAUUGCUAUUGAUCAUGAUGGAAGCAAUCAUCACUGUCAACAACCCAAUUGUUCAUAUUAUUGAAUAUAAAAAAGUUAUUGGAUUACAGGAAAGUAUAAUUUGAUAGAUUGUACUAAAAUUAUUAUCCCAAACUUGCACUUUUGUUGAUGUUUUGCCUUUUAAAAUUUUUUUAUGAUUAUUCAUACUAAGGAACUUUAAAUGAGGGCAAUUUUGGGCAUUUAUAUACUUUUUUAAUUUUACAUCAUCAAGGUGAAACCCAAACCUAUGUUCUAGGGGAGGUAUGUGUAAUUUUCAAAAUGUGAGGAGAGUUGUCUAAAAUUACUAGAAACCCCAAGGGAGGUUUCUGAAAUUAUAAUAACCUUGAAACAGAAGUGAUUAUGAUAUGAUAUUGCACUAUAUUAUAUAAAUAGUAUAAAAUUUUUUCAUUUUUGUUGGGAAAAUUUAAGAAAGGAAAUUAUAAUAAUAAUUGAAAUCCAUAAUUAAGGGGUAGUUUUUGAGAUAUUUAUAGAGGGGAUAUGGGUUAUUAUUCAUAAAGAAUAAAAGAAUCCAUCAUGCAAAUAAAAUUUAUGAAAUUAUUGCUAAUCUAAAGUUCACAUUUUUAUUUAUGAUGUACACUACAAUUAAUUGAAAUACAGAUUGUUACAAGGGUAAUAGAUAUAUUUACUUUUUUUAAUUCAUAAAUAAUAAUUCACAUCUUUUGUUUAAGUGUAAGUGAUCUGGUUCAAAAUUAAAAUUUCUUAUGUAUAUUAUCUUCUUCAAAUCACCCACAACCUAUCCCUCCCCGAAGUGACAAGUAUCCCAAAAUUACACUACGAAUUUCAAUUCUUCUUAUUUCCCUUUUUUCCAAAUUUUUUUCCUAAAAAAGAAUGUGACAAGUAAAUAUGUUAAAAUAUUGAAUUUGGCUUCCAAAACGACGUCGUUUUCGAUAUCUGCAAAAAACCUUGUAGCAGGACCUUUCGAACCGAGAAACGAGGACCAUGAAGCAGAACAACAUACGAGCCCAGAAAAGGAAGUACUCCACAAUAAAGCACCUCCUCUCUGAAGAGUAAAUAGAGAUGGGCGCGUCAGAGUCAAGUCUCUCCAGCUCCCAAGUAAUCCCCUCAAAUUCAAUUAACCUGAAAUAAGCUCUACCUUUUCCGAUAGCAUUUUAUUAUUGCUAUUUUAUUUAUUUAAUUUGUAUAUUUUUCAUGGGUGAAGAGACCUGGAGAUGAGAUUACCACAGUAUCGGAGCGGUCAGAAAUUGUGGAUCCUGUCAUAGAGCAGCUCAAAUCCCUUAAAAUUGUGAGCUGCUACUCCAAUUUUUGAGCUUUUUUGCUUUAAUGGAUUAUCGAUUUUUGUCACCGUAUUACUUUAAUAUCACAUCAGUCGGUUUUAAUUACGUGUAAUUUGUAAAUGUUUGUGAAUAGGCAACUCCAAUAUUAACGUCAACGCCGGCAGAGACUAGCUUGACGGAUAUUCUAGUGAGGAAAGCUUCAUCUUCUUCAAAUUCAAGUAAUUAAGGGGAGCUUUCCUGUUUGGUUUGAGUUCUCAUUGUAUUGUAUCAUUUGGUCCCUAAGUUCUGAACUUGAAAAGCUUUACUCAUGUUACGUUGGAUUCUUGAAACUUGUAUAUGCUGGAACAAGCAACGACUUGGUAUUGAUUGGGUGCUUUUGCAUAAAACUGCUGUUGAUUUCAUGCCACAAAAUGAUAGUUGUAAUGAUCAAUUUUCCCAAAUGUUCUCCAUUUAGUAUUCUGAAGUCUGAAACGAGAAAAGCUUCUGCCAAUUUUGAAAAAAAAGGCUUUCUGACAUUCUGUGAUAAUGCUUAGCCUUGAGUAUUUUGAAAAUUUAUUACAAUACUCAAAGAGUGAUUGAUGUCCUAAUUUAUUAUUUUAACCAUAGAACUGCAUCAGAACUAAAUUUAGACUGGAUUUGGGGAAUAUAUAUAUAUAUAUAUAUAUAUAUAUAUAUAAUGUAAAAAUUGGACCAUCUGAUCCGAUGGAAGAACUGAUGCAGAGAACAAAUGAGCUAAAUCCACCUACUUAAAAUAUGUCUCAGAUAUUUUAUGCUGGAAGAUGCUUAAUGGAUGAAAAAUAAUAUUGCAGUGCCUGAAUGUGGUAUUUUAAGGAAUUAAGUCGAGAUAAUCCUGUAGAACAACUUCUAAAUAACAAAACCUUUGGAAGCAAAUCUUGUUCCCUUGUUGAAAAGGAGUCUCUGGAGAAAACCUGUUAUCCUUUGAUUGAAUUCUUUGGUUACCAAACAUAUAGUUUGCUGUCGAAGAGUAUGCACUCUAGCUAUGUAUUGGACUGCAAUUCAUUAUGGGAAUUCCUGUUAGUUGACAGCCUUCAUCAAUGUUGGCAUAUUGAAAGUCCUUGGAUGUGUGAUGGAACAAAAUUUUAAUUUCCUGAGUUUCUAAUUGUGCUUUUGGCUGCAGUUUAUGAUAGACACCCCUCCUAACAGCUAAAUGGUUAUUUUUAUGUUUUUUGCAUGAUUCUUCAAUUUCACUGCUUUAUUAUCCAUGUAUUGCCCCUGAAAGGUUGAAAACUGAAAUAGGUACGGUCAACCCAAAUGUGUUGCUUGAGCUCUUUUCCAUGUAUCGUGACUGGCAAGAGCGAAAAGCACAGACAAUUAGUAAAAGACAGGUAAAUGGGAUCACUCGUUUGUUCAUUUUUCUUUCUCCUUGUUGUUGGAUUUUGUUAUUUAAGAGGGUUGUUUUGGUUGAAGUAAUAAGAUUUCCUGUGACACCCCGACGGAGGUAAGAAGUUGAAGCGUACUACUUAUAGGAAACAAGUUCUCAAUUUCUCUUGAUUUUAAAUUUAAGAAUCCAAUGGCCCGAUUUAUGUAUUUUAAUGUCCGCUUAAGGUCCAAUUAAGAGUUUGAUGUACUAGGACUCUGAAGACUCUUGUAAUUUAUAUUAACAUGUUGAACCAGGUGUAGUUUGGUACUUGUUUGAUAUGUCAUUGGGUUCAAAUAGUUAGUAGCCACUAGGCAGAAAGGGAGGGGCAAAGACAUGCCGAUGGUAAUUGACAGAGACUGGAUAUACUUGAUUUCUGAGCUGCUUGCUUGGUAAUUCGUGCAGGAAGAGAUAGAAAAUAAAAUAGAAGUUGCUGAUGCAUUGGCAGUUAAGCUUCUUCAACGUUUCAAUUAUUCUGUCUCUGCGAUGAAGACAACUUCACACCAUCUCUCAGAAGGUAAUUAGAAUUUGAGUAAAACAAUGAAGGUGGUUACCAGAUUGGUGGUUGCAUAUUAGCGAGCUAGCGGAGUUAACUGAACAUGCAAGAAUUCUUACUUAAAAGCUUUAGCGCCUAUGUAAGUUAAAAGAGUCUAGUUGGGGUUGGCAGGAGCUCUAAAUGACCCUCCCCUUAUUCAGAUCUCGUGGGUUGUUGGAAAAUCUGGUAAUCUAUGAACUGCUAUGUGAGUUGCAUAUGGUUGGAAGUGCAUCUUCGGUUAGGCAUGUCCUCCGUCCGCAUAAGCACAGUGGAUCAGAAUAGACUUCAUUGUGUUAGCUUCACCUAAUUGACUUCUUGUUUGAAAAUCCAUGCAGUUCAUGCGUUACAGGUGGAACUCGGAGAAUUGAAGGGAAGAUUGACUGAGGUUAUCAGCAACUGUGAUGCAUUGUGUCAAAGAAUUACUACAGAGGGACCAGAAUCACUUCGAUCAUCUAUCAAGCCAUUUACAGCAUCGCCUAUGGACAUGGGUACUGCUGAUGUGCUGAAUUCUAAUAAUAACUGAUAUGGAUGAGCCACAAUUAUAGCAAGUAGAUGCUAGGCUAUUCUUCUGUUUUAUAUGGUACAUUAUCUUACCGGAAAAUAGAAAUUCACUCGCAUGCUGCAGUUUGGGCUUUCGUUGACACAAUUCUAACAAAGUUGGUUUAGGUUGUCUAGCUCGGCCAGGAAUUGAUUUUAAUGUGUAUGUCCUGCAGAUAGGACAUCAAGCGAGUCCCGUUACUUUUUAGGGUGUUUAUUCUGUAGAAACUUUUGCAAGACGCGUAAUUUUGUUUUUCCAGUGGCUACGCUAAUUUUAAGGCAUUCAUCUAAUGUCUGUAUGCAUGAAUUGUGAAAGAACUGGAUUAGAGGAUUCGUUUAACAGGAGUUGACAGGGACUAAAUUUUUUUUUUUCCUUUUAACUCUUAAAUCCAAGAGAGGACAAAUCGGAAAGAGCACAUCAGCUACUCGCUACUCGGUAUUGCAAACUUUCAAGUUGCCGAAGGUUCAAAUUCUCGAUUGAUGCAUAACUUGUUCGUUUGAAAUGUGAAGCUCAUCAACGGAAGGCCAAAUAAAUCAUCAUGAUUUUCAGCGGUAAUCCAAAUACACAAAUAAACGGUAAACUCCUCCAAAGAACAAAAUUAAAAAUCUAUAUGGAUUAGCUUCACUACACUCUAACCCAACAUCAGAAGUAACUGUACUGCAAUUGAAUCACAUUCUUUAAUGAUGGAUUGUAUAAAAUAAACAAAGCUGCAUUUCUGGUGAGGUGCACGUAAUCUGAAGCAGUCAAGGCUGUUGUUGAGCAUCCAUGUAACCCGCAUCAACGAGAACCUUCUCCCUCUUAGCCAACUCAAUAUCUUCAUCUACCAUCAUCUUCACCAGCUGCUCAAAUCCAACUUUUGGCUUCCAUCCCAGCACCUUUCUCGCCUUACUAGAAUCUCCCUUCAGAUUAUCCACUUCUGCAGGCCUAAAAUACCUCUUAUCAAUCACCACAUGAUCCCUCCAGUCCAACCCAACAUACCCAAAUGCCGCCCGCAAAAACUCCUCAACCGUGUGAGAUUCCUCCGUCGCCACCACAUAAUCGUCCGGUUUCUCCUCCUGCAGCAUCAUCCACAUUGCCUCCACGUAAUCCCCUGCGAAACCCCAAUCCCUUGAAGCCUGCAAAUUACCCAGAAACAGCUUGCUCUGCAGUCCAAUCUUGAUUCUCCCCACGGCCCGGGUAAUCUUCCUCGUCACGAAGUUCUCCCCACGGCGGGGAGAUUCGUGAUUGAAUAAAAUCCCAUUGCAGGCGAAAAUGCCGUAUGCCUCCCGGUAAUUGACCGUGUACCAAUGGGCGGCGCAUUUAGAGGCGGCGUAGGGGGACCUGGGGUGGAACGGGGACGUUUCAGAUUGGGGAGGAGGGGUAGAUCCGAACAUCUCCGAUGAUCCGGCUUGGUAGUACUUAAUGUGGGACCGGCCGGUAGCUGAGAUGUGGGAACGGACGGCUUCGAGGAGGCGGAGAGCUCCGGUGGCGACGACGUCAGCUGUAUAAUCAGGAAUCUCAAAGGAAACAGCGACGUGUGAUUGGGCGGCGAGGUUGUAAACCUCGUCGGGGUUGAUUGUAUCGAGCCAGCGGCGGAGAGAGGAGGCGUCAGUGAGGUCAGCGUAAUGGAGCUUCAUCUUGGCUUUUUGGGCAUUGUGGGGAUCGAUGUAAAUAUGGUUGAUGCGUUGGGUAUUGAAGUUAGAGGAUCGGCGGAUGAGGCCAUGGACUUCGUAGCCUUUGAUGAGGAGGAAUUCAGUUAAGUAGGAGCCGUCUUGACCAGUUAUGCCUGUGAUCAGGGCUACUUUCCGGCUCGUGGGAGGUUGAAGAGCUGGGGAAGGAGAAGCGGUUUCAUCGCCGUUGGCCGUGCUGGUAAAUCCGGAUCUGGAGGUGGUUUGGUUGUCGGUGGCCAUUUAUGGCAGACCAAUGACUGAAGUGUUUGGAGGGUUUGACGGAAAAUGGAGGGAGAUGGGGAGGUUUAGGUCGGGGAGAAAAGGAAGAUUUGUAGAGGGAGCAGAGCAGGAUGCCAGGAAUACUAAGGUGGUGUGACAGCUCGCGUUUGACAACUAGGACCAGGAGUUUCUGCGCUCUUAAGGCUAGUUUGGAGACUAGUUUGGAGAGUCGUUAGAGAAGAAGAUUAAUUACUUGCGGGACCAGAAGUAAUUGUCCUAAGGCCUAGUUUGGGAGUUUAGGUGAGGAAAUUCUAUAGUUAUGACUUAUAAGCCGUCUCAUUUGCGAGCUUGAAAAAUUGAUGCUUUUCCGUUUAAUGCAAUGGAUUUUAUUCUUUUAUUCUUUUUUUAUUUUGUGAAGUGAAUUGAUUAUUUUUUCGGGUAUAAAAAUUUUUGGAUAAAUUUGAUUCCAAUCACUAUUAUCACGAACCAUAGCAUACUCCUCGAAACCAUAAGUAAAGAAGCGGUUCGUCUUUACUAGACUCUUUUUUUUUUUUUUUAACAUCAUUCUUAUCAAAUGGAGCCAACUUCAAUUUUCAAUUUUAGAGAGAGUAUUGAUUUGCGAUGUCUUUUAAAAAUUUUAACUUUCAAACCAAUAAUAAAAACUAUACCUUUUCUGGUUCUCCUUUUUUCCGUUGAUCUCCUUAAAAACUAAUUUACAUGCAGAAGUAUUGUCAUUGUUAAAGAAUUAAAAAAAAAAGAAAUAUUCCAACUUACUCUUCUUUUUGUUUUUAAAACUAAAUACUUUAACUUGCUCUCUAGUGUCAUCGUAUCUCUUCUUGUCUCUUUAUUUAGUAAUCACAAUCAAGAGAAGGUUUUCAUUCAUACUUCGUUGCUUUUCUUUUUUGGCAUAUCUAAAUCUAUCCAUUCAAAUGAAAGUGUCAUUAUGAAAAGGUGGCAAUUGAUAUUCUUGUUACAGUUCAAAGAAUGAUAAACGAAAAAAGCAAUGUAAGUUGCAAAAAAAGAAUAAAAAGGAAAAUAGGACCAAAAGAUGAAAUAUCUUAAGGGAGAGAGUGUAAGCAAGAGGUCUCGGGUUCAAAUCCUCGUACUUACACUAAAAAAAAAAAAUCUUAAACAUAUGGAGAGGGAAGAGGAAUUUAUGACAUAGAACACCCUGCACCCUUUUUCUUAUCUUUAUUAAUUAGUCUGAUACACUGAGGAGAUUUAGGUAGGUGGAUAAAAGAUUUCUAAUCCAGCACAGGCAAGACCUUAAAAAAGGAGUAUACACUCUACGAUAUAAUUCACAUUCAGGUUGCCAAACAUAGGUUGAAUUUGGAGUUAGAUGUUACUACUUUGUUAAAAGAUUUAUGAUCUAGCCCAAGCAUAUACCUAGACAAUAAGAAUGGUUUGCAAUAUCAUUUACACGUACAUUGCCAGUUAUAGCUUGAAUUUAGAGUUAGAUGUUACUCUGUUAAAAGAUUUCUGAUCUAACCCAAGUACGAACCUAGACAAUGAGAAUAUUUUACGAUAUACUUCAUGCUUGCAUUGCCAACUUUAGUUUGAGUUUGGAGUUAAAGUGUCAUUUUAUUACCAGAUUUACAAGAUGUCUUAGGCUAUAAUUAGCCUUAGAUCUUAUGGUGCUACUUUGUUCCAGGGAUGGCAAUUGAGGGAGGGGAUGGAGUGGGAUGGGGGUUGUAGUGGGGCCCAUAUGCACGUUAGCUCGGGCAGAAAGAACUGACUGACCUGGCAAGGUAGCUCGAACAGUCAGGGGACAGUUCGUGCGGUGGCCGCCUCUCGAUUGGAUGGGCCUGAUGGGCCGCGACGCCCGAACUUGUCGGGGCUAACAAGCGGAGCCCUAGGAGGAGUUCCCCUCCGCUGAGGACUCAUUGUCCUAUAAGGAAACUAUCACCAAGGACUCUAUAAAUACAACGCAUUGGGAGGACACAAGGUACACCACUCAUAGUUCAUUAUACUGUCACUUCGACCUAACAUCUCUACUGACUUGACCGUCGGAAUUGCUCCGGGGAACUAGCCUCGCCGUUUGUCAAUUUGCAGGUCGGUUCGCCCACCUAGCCAGCUCGCUCCCUCUCAGCUCGCUCAACCCGUCACAGCUCAGCUCGGAUCUUGUUUUUGGCAGUCGUCUCAAUUGGCGCUGUCUGUGGGAAUCAAUUACUUUCUCUUGCGAAAACAUGUCAAGAACUAGAUCCCAGAGGAACGUGGACGGAUCUAAGGGGAACGAGCAGAGUGAUCCACAACACCCCCGUCAAGAUCCAAUCCUGGAGAACGAGAGGUUUGAGCUCUUGCGGAUCCUGCCAGAGCAGCUGGUGCAAUCGGUGGCAGUGAAUCUGCCUACCUUUGAAGCCGUUGUGAACUACCUGAAGGGACAAUUUGGAGAUCAUCCCGGCCAUGCGCACAAGGCACGGAAGACGAACGGAACUGGGCCAUCGAAAUCUAGAACAGGAAGCCCUAACCCUCGACCGAAGAGGGCACGGGAGGAGUUCAUGCGUGAACAGAUCGAGGUUCUAGAACCCUCCCACAAGAACUCCCGAACUGAUCACCCCGAGCCCAUCUCAGGGCUCCCGCGGAGGGAGUUCCCUCCCAGGAAAGAGGAAUACCAGAUGCAGGAUGAACUGGAUAUGUUGUUAGAUCCGGAGGUGGACAGGUGCACCGCCUCUCCCUUCGUACCUGACGUUGAAGAUUAUCCGCAGCCCGCAAAGUUCAAGAUACCCUCCAUGAAGUCCUAUGAUGCGACCACAGACCUAGAAGAUCACCUAUUUGCAUUCCAGAUGCAGAUGCGCCUGCAAACGGCUGCUGAUGCCGUUAGGUGUAAGACCUUUUCGAUGUUCCUGGAGGGAAAGACCCGUCAAUGGUUCCAGAGAUUGCCUCCCAGGUCAAUUUGGUCUUUCAGCCAGCUCGCACGGCUGUUCGCAGCUCAGUUCGUGUCCUCACGAGUCUUUUCCAAAAGCACGGCUCACUUGAUGACAGUUCACCAAGGGCCUGAGGAGUCGCUGCGCGAGUAUAUGGUGCGCUUCAACAACGAGUCCCUCCAGGUUCGGGAUCGGGAUGAUAAGGUGGUUAUGGCUGCCUUCGUCAAUAGAUUACGCAAGCAGAAGCUGUAUACAGAGUUCGUGGAGAGACCUCCCAAGUUCGUUCGGGAGAUGCUAGACCGAGAUCAUGAGAAGGCUAAUACCGAAGAGGCCAACCGCUUGAAAGGCGCACAGGAAAGGCUGAAGGACGACAGGCGCAGGAAAAGCGCCGAACUGGGGGGGCGCGACCUGAUCAGGGACGGAAGAACGCCUUCGACCGCCUGUCCCGAAGCCGACCAUUUGAGAAAGAAAAGGCAUGGACCUCGCUCACAGUGUCCAGGGCCCGGGUCCUCGUCGUGAUGGAGCAAGAAGGUCUCUCUCGGCCUCCCCGACCACUAGCCGGUGAUAAGAGCCAGCGUGAUCAGGGCUUGUAUUGCGCUUACCAUCGUGACGUAGGGCACGAUACCGAGGACUGCCGUCACCUCAAGAAAGACAUCGAAAAAUUGAUCAGAAGAGGACAUCUCGGGCAGUUCAUACGUGACGGACGGACCGACCAGAGACAAAGGGGUACAAACGGAACGUGCGAAUUGCUCACGUGACCGACCUCGGGGCCCCCAAGAUCGAACUUCCAAACAAGAGGUACAGAACCUAGCCUGGGUGAUCAAUACUAUUGCGGGAGGGCCUGUCGGGGGAGAUAGCCAUACGGCUCGACGGAACAACCGACCCCCUCCCAGUGGAGAGAGCUCGAACAAACGCUUGAAGAUGUAUGAGGAGAUAAUUUAUGGGCUUGAGGUUGCGGUACCCCUUGCCUCUAAUAAUCAUAAGGCCAUCGUGAUAGAGUCAUAACGUGCAAUUACAAAGUAAAAAAGGUGUACAUAGAUAAUGGGAGUGCCAUCGAUGUACUGUACUACAAGACCUUCAAAGAGCUGCAGCUGGAGGAUAAACAGCUCAUCCCAAUCCGCACUCCCCUGAUAGGUUUCGCAGGUCCGCCUGUAAGACCCGAGGGAAUGAUAACUCUCAUGGUCACGGUAAGAGAGUCCCCGAAAUGUCGAACUGUCCCGGUGAAUGAAUUUUGUAGUGGUGAACGAGCCAUCCUCAUUCAACAUGAUACUGGAACGACCGACCCUAAACGCACUACGAGCCGUCUGCUCGACUUUACACCUUAGCAUGAAAUUUUUCACACCUGCGAGGGUAGCUGAGGUGUUAGGGGAUCCAGAAGUAAUUAGAACUUGCUACAUUGCGACUCUCAAGGGUAAGGAGAAACUGGUAGCUCAAACAGCCUAUCUAGAGCCCUGGGAACCUACGGAGAAAGAGGAGAGGCUGGAGACAGAUCUGCCCGGAGCAACCCGAUCGCAUGGUCAGGACUGGCUCCUGCCUGUGCGAGCUAACGCGGAGGGCAUUAGAAUCACUCCUAGAGGAAUACGCAGAGAUUUUCGCGUGGAGUGUUGACGACAUGUCCGAAAUUUCGCCCGAACUAGCAGUUCAUAAGUUACAUGUAGACCCAAAUGUCCGACCGGUAAAACAAAAGAAAAGGAACUUCGCACCCGAACGAAAUGAGGUCGUCAAAAAAGAGGUAGACAAGCUAUUGGAGACCAAAAUCGUGAAAGAGAUCUACUACCCGACCUGGUUGGGCAACCCUGUACUGGUCAAAAAAGACGACAGGGCAUGCAGGAUGUGCGUGAAUUUCACCAACCUGAAUAAAGUUUGCCCGAAGGAUUGCUACCUGCUCCCACGAAUAGACCAGCUGGUGGACUCGACUACGGGGUGCGAGAUCUUUUGCUUUUUGGAUGCCUUCAAGGGGUACCAUCAGAUAGCCCUGGAUAAGGAGGACCAAGAGAAAACCUCAUUUAUCACCGAAUACGACACAUAUUGUUAUACCACCAGGCCGUUUGGACUGAAGAACGCUGGCGAGAUCUAUCAGAGGCUGGUCAACAAGCUGUUCAAGAACCAGAUCGGCCGCAACAUGGAUGUCUACGUGGAUGACAUGCUGGUGAAAAGUCGAACUCAGGAGCAGUUCAUCGACGAUCUCAGAGAGAUCUUCAGCGUCCUUCAGAGCUCACGGAUGCUGUUGAACCCCAAGAAGUGCACCUUCGGAGUUAGAUCGGGCAAGUUCCUUGGGUACAUGAUAUUCAAAUACGGAGUGAGAGUUAAUCCCGACAAAGUGAAGGUAUCAUGGAUAUGGCUCCCCCCGGAACAUAAAGGAGGUCCAGUGAUUAGCUGGCAGGAUGACAGCUCUGAACAGGUUCCUGUCGAAGUCCGUAGUUGCUCAAUUGCCCAUAUUACUCAGUUGCCAGCCUUAACCUCCCCCGCACAGGAAGAGACCCUAUUCAUAUACCUAGCGGUGGGAAAAGAGGUGAUCAGUGCAGUGCUGGUUCGGGAGAAGGACCGAGUCCAGAAACCCGUGUACUAUGUCAGCUGAGUUCUGCAAGGAGCAGUGUCAAGGUAUACUGCAGUUGAACGGUAUGUUCUAACGCUAGUUCACGCGACCCGAAAGUUCAGGUCAUACUUUCAAACUCACCCCAUAAUAGUGGUGACCGACCAACCCCUGAAACAAAUCCUCUCCAAACCCGACGUAUCGAGAAAGAUGGUGAAGUGGGCUGUGGAGCUAUCUGAAUAUGACCUCGGCUAUCAGCCCCGUACGGCUAUCAAGGCCCAAGCGUUGACGGAUUUUAUAGCAGAGGGCGUCUCUUUCGGACUGUAGGGAGCCGAGGCCGAGUUGACCAGAGACACAGCAGAGGCCGAACAGGCCGGAGAAACUGUCGAGCUCACACAGGCCACAAAAGCAGCCCAGGCCGAGCUGACCAGAGACACAAUUGAGUUCGAACAGGCCGGAGAAGCUGCCGAGGUCACACAGGCCAUAAGGGCAGCCGAAACCGAGCAGACCAGAAAAGCAGCCGAGGCCGAACAGGCCGGAGAAGCUGCUGAGGUCGGACAAGCCGGAGAGGCUGCAAGGCGGACCACUCCGACCUGGACAUUGUUUGUGGAUGGCGCAUCGAGUAAGGAAGAGUGCGGAGUUGGACUCCUCCUAACCAGUCCCACGGGGGAGGAACUGGCCUACGCCUUAAGAUUUGACUUCAAGGCCUCCAAUAACGAAUCUGAAUAUGAAACUCUGAUCGCGGGGAUGGUGAUGGCUCAGAAAUUGGGGGCUGAAUCGAUUAGGAUCUACAGCGACUCGCAGUUGAUAGUGAACCAAGUGUUGGGAAACUACGAAAUCAAAAAAGAACCACUGAAAAAGUACGUCGCCAAAGUGCAUGAACUGAGAAUUCAGUUCAAACUGUUCGUAGUCGAACAGGUCCCGCGAAGCCGAAAUAAGAGAGCUGAUGCUCUGUCCAAGCUGGCCUCCACCUCGUUGGGCAUGCUAAACAAGGAAGUGCUAGUUGUGAUCUUCAGAGGUCGGGCAUAUGAUCAGUUGGACGCGGCAGUUAUUUAAGUGAUGGGCUCAUGGAUGGAUCCCAUUGUGCGGUAUCUAGCCAAUGGGGAACUCCCCUCAAGUAAGAUAGAAGCUCGCAAGAUUCUCCUCAAGUUGCGGGGAUAUGUGCUCACGAAUGGAGUGCUCUACAGGAAAUCCUACCUACGUCCAUGGCUGAGGUGUGUGACGCCGGAGGAAGGGGACUACAUCCUGCGUGAGCUGCAUGAGGGUCUCUGCGGAAACCACGUCGGCCCAAGGGUUUUGGCCAAAAAGGGAAUGCUGUCUGGGUAUUACUGGCCUAUCAUAUUCCUGGACUCGGCCGGACUGGUAGCACGGUGCAGAUUGUGCCAACUGCACGCACCAGUUCGUCACGUCCCAACUCAGGAGAUGGACCCGCUUCAGAGCUCUUGGCCGUUUUUUCAAUGGGGAGUCGACCUGUUUGGCCCGUUCCCCCUAGAUCCAGGAGGUUAUGAGCACUUGGUGGUGGCCGUUGACUACUUUACUAAAUGGGUAGAGGCCGAACCACUUAACAUCAUCAGUAGCAGGUCGGUCCAGAAGUUCCUCUGGAGGAACAUUGUUUGUCUGUUUGGCAUACCCCGAGUCUUGGUCUCGGACAACGGUCAAUAGUUCACCGACAGUUCUCUCCAAGGUUGGUGUUCAGAGCUCGGAAUCAGACAGCACUUCACUUCGGUAGGCCACUCCAAGCCAAUGGUGAAGUAGAAAAUGUCAAUAGAACUAUCCUGUACGGCUUGAAAACUCGGAUAGAGUCCGCUCGGACUAGGUGGAUUGACGAACUGCCUACCAUACUAUGGGCUUACCGAACUAUUCCUCGAACUGCCACCCAGGAGACUCCAUUUGCCCUAACCUACGGGACAGAUGCCGUGAUUUCCGCGAAGAUUGGUGUUCCCUCGGGCAGGGUACAGAACUUCAUAGCCCAGGACAACGAGGACGAACUACGGCUCAACUUGGAUCUGCUCGAACAAAGGAGAGAAGAAGCGGUUAUACGUAUGGCUAAGUAUAAGGGACAGGUCGCGCGACACUACAAUGCUAGGGUGAGACGCCUCUCCUUUAAAUCGGGGGACCUUGUCUUGCGAAAGAAUACCGUAAGUCGGAUCCGGGGUACAGGCAAAUUGGAUCCAAACUGGGAGGGCCCUUAUGUGGUGAAGGAGGCAGACCGAGCUGGAUACUGCAAGUUAGCACAUCUUAGCGGAGAAGAAGUCCCAUGUACUUGGCAUAAUUCCAACUUGAGGAUCUUUCAUUAGAGCUCAGCUCAUGCAUGGCCUGUGCUCCGACAGGAUGGAGGCCAGCUCAUGCACGUCAGAUCGUUCGUAUAACUAGAUUUUUAUUAAUGCCAAUGUAUUCGAUUAAGGUUGAAUUAUCUCGCAUAGGUUAAAAGCCAGCUCGUGCUUAUCGAGAUCAAUACCAGUUCGCGCAAGUGUAUUUUGAUGUUAUGACAAGAAAGUUAUGAAUGAAAAAUAAGGCUAAGUGUCAAGCAAAAGAAAGGCUUCAUUCCAUAGAAAAGAAAUGUACAAGGGAGAGUAGAACUCAUACAAAAAAUGAACUGGGACUAGACAGUUCGGGUCUCUAUCCUAGAAUCCUACUCUAGUUCUCACCCUCCUCCUCUUCCUGUUCGGACUCAGGAGUGGUCAUUGGCGGCAAAGGAUCAGCAACCAGAUCUGUCAACUUCCGCCCGCGUGAGUAGCCCUCCACCAGGCGAUCGACCUGCUCCACAGUGCUGGGGUUGUAGUUCGGGAAUUUCUCCAGGUCAAAUCCCAGCAGACCCAGCUCUUGCACUUCCUUCAGCGCCUGGGUGUAUCCAUGUUAUAGCACUGGGGUGUUCAGGAUGGCCAGGUCACCCCUGAAGUCAUCCAACCUCAAGAAUGCCCGAACACCCUCUUGGCGUCCUUCAGUCCUGGCCGCUGUCGUCUGAGCUGCCAGCUCGACGCCUCUUUGCUGCUCCUCCUUCAGCUGGGAGGUCAGUUCAGCAUUCUUCUUCAGCUCCAGCUCGAAGUUCGAGUGGACCUGCGCGAGUUGCCUUUUCAGGCCCUCGGCCUCCGAUGUGGCAGCUUCGUACUGGCUUAACAGCUUUUCAUUAGCUGCUCUCAUCUCGCUCUUUAGCGAGAGCACGUUCAUCUGGUAAAUCGAUUUUGGAGGACAGGUCAGUCUUAAGAAAAGACAAUUUUUACCAACAAGGGCGAGCAGGGUGUGAGGAGAAGACCGACCUGAGCUGCUCCCGUGUAAUAGUAGUCGAGGAGGUCGGAAGGAUUCAUGGUUUUGACCAGGUUAUAGUCCCGCGGAAGGAUGGCCCCAUGCAUGAGCUUCCGAGAUACCUCCGGGAACUGAGCUCGAUCGUUAAUAGACAGCUUCCAUUGGGGGCAGAAGUAUCUGGGGUCGAAGAACGAGGUGCUUUGGUGCUGCCACAGGCCAGGAGGAGCCUCAGCUCGGGCCUGCUCCUUGGCGGUGUUGACACCAUAGUGCCCGGUUUGAACAGGGUCAAGCAUCGACCCCUCUUCCCGACCACGGAACGAGGUCGUCUCCACCCUGGCUCUCUUGGCAGUGAUUUUCUUCUUCUUUUUCUUCCUUGUCUCAGCUGCUUGGGAGGACUGAACAGGGAUUGGUUGAACAGGCGGGGUAGGUGCCGAGUUGGCUGGGAUAGUCGAGGGAGCUUAAGUUGGGGUGUUCGAACUGCCUGUGCCCCCAAGAGUCAGGAGCUGCGAAAACCUCUUCACUGCAUAAAAACGAAGUUCAAGCAAUUAGUAACCACACGAGCUAAAAACUCAGCCCCAACAAACAAAAGACAAGGACAAGAAGAUUACAGGUGGCCAGCUCAUCCGGAGAGAGAGCUGUACUUUCUGGGGACGGAUCCGAGGAGUUAGUUCGGAUCAGGCCAGCCGCCCAGAGUUGGGCAUUGCUGAAAUCCUUCACAUUCAGCCUCAUGUCCGAGCUGAGUAAAUGAUUGAGCUCGAACACUGGGAGCGGGGAAGGAAUGGGAUCAGAAACUUGAGUCUCCGCUCUCCAAGUCAGGGGAGGAAGACCCAAGUUUUUCACAUAGAAGAAAUGGGGCUUCCAGUUCUUGAUAGAGAAGGGCGCGCCCGCGAACAGCUCACAGGUGGGGGUUUUCGCUCCGCUCCUACGAGCAAAGUAGAACCACCAGGGCACUUUGCCGCUGAUCUUCAUUUGGAAGAUAGCCCGGAACAAAUCAAGUGAAAAGGGGAUUUCGAGCACGCGACAGAGAAUGAAAAAACCUAUAAUGGAGCGAACAGCAUUUGGGAUGAGCUGGGUUAUGCAGAUGCCCCAGAAAGUGAGGAUCUCAAAAAGAAAAUUGGGGAUAGGGAGGCGAAGGCCAGCUAUCAGCUGGUCCCUGUAGAUUGCCACGAACCCGGGAGGAGGUUGUCUAGCAACUUCCCCAGGCCGGGCGGCCCUGGGUUCGAACUGGGCAGGGAUUUCAUACUUCUCUGUCAGUUCGUCGACAUCUUUUUGCUCCAGGGCAGGGGGAAUAGUAUCGACCUCGCCGAAGUCGCCGCUAAAUCCCCCCGAGGUCCCACUACUGCUUGGUCUGGAGCUGCUUGUGCAGCAGCUCUGACAGGAGGCUUGAUGGGUUGUUCGGACCAAUUCAUUGUUCUAGCAGGAGACAGAACGGGGGAGGGUACAAACUUUGACCCAGACGAACUAGAAGAAGAAGGGGAACUAGAAGAGGUAGAAGAACUGAUAUCUACAAGUAUGGGACGAGCUAUCCUACGCCUAAGGGCUGAACUGGUAACGUCAGAGCGUUCAGAGGAAGAAGAAGACAUAAAAAGGGAAAGGAAACUUACUGGUGAAAGGAGGAGGUCGGAUGAAAGACUGAUCUAAAGGAUGCGCGAACUGACCCUGUGUGAGAACCCAAAAAAAAAAACAAUCAAUCACACUUUCUCAGUAUUAUUUUAUUUCUUUGCCUACAUUUUAUACUUUCCUUGGACAUAUUAAAAUUUCUAUACAUUUUUACAAGCAAGUACAGUUUUAAAUUCAUUUUUCUAGUAUGAUUUAGUGUACGUUAAAUUUGGAAUGCAUUGUCGAUGUGGGACCCGCUAGUGCGAUAAAUGUGGUGAUUAAGAGUGAGUUUUGGAUUGUUAUUUCGUUUGAUCUUGUGGUUUUAUUUCAGAUUUGAUUGAGGUUUGACUGAGUUCCGACGAGAGUUAGGCAGGCGGUCCGCCGAACCCUUUGGUUCGCCUUAGGGUGAGGUGGGGCUGUCACACCCUGGGCUCUUAAAGUAAGACAAGCGGGCGGACUCUCGAAAGGAGGAAAGAAAAAUGAAGGAGCGAACUGAUGAAGCGAAAGAAGGGGAGUGAAAGUGACGCCUGGAGGGCUUAUUUAUAGGCAACCAUCAGGGCGGGAAAACGAAGGGGCGCGCAUUUAUUUUCGAAUUUAUGUUGGGAACCGUCAUUAUGAGGCGAGGUGACAGUUGAGGUGACGGAUAUGUGAACCGACGCGACGGUUACUCGAGCGAAUGCCAGACGAGGGGGCCCCACGCCGAACUGACAUAACGCCUCGAAAUUCGGUCCAGAUUCACGCGACUACUCGAUGACUCUAGACUAAAAGGGGGGCUAGUGUAGUGGGGCCCAUAUGCACGUCAGCUCGGGCAGGAAGAACUGGCUGACCUGGCAAGGCAGCUCGGACAGUCAGGGGACAGUUCGUGCGGUGGUCGCCUCUCGAUUGGAUGGGCCUGAUGGGCCGCGGCGCCCAAACUUGUCGGGGCUAACAAGCGGAGCUCUAGGAGGAGUUCUCCUCCGCUGAGGACUCAUUGUCCUAUAAGGAAACUAUCACCAAGGACUCUAUAAAUACAACGCAUUGGGAGGACACAAGGUACACCACUCAUAGUUCAUUAUACUGUCACUUCGACCUAAAAUCUCUACUGACUUGACCGUCGGAGUUGCUCCGGGGAACUAGUCCCGCCGUUUGUCCAUUUACAGGUCGGUUCGCUCAGCUCGCCAGCUCGCUCCCUCUCAGCUCGCUCAGCCCGUCACAGCUCAGCUCGGAUCUUGUUUUUGGCAGUCGCAUUAGGGGUCAUUUUCUUUCCCAUUAAAAAAGGGAUAGGGGCGGAGGUAUACCUAAAAAAAUAUAUAUAUAUAUUAUAAUUAUAUAUAACAUAUUUAAUAUUAUUAGUUAUAAUAAUUAUAUUUAUUGAAGCCUACAUUAUUUAUUGAAAAAAUCAUUUAAAACGUUCCUCAUAUUUUUUUAAAUGAGAUUUUAUAUCAUUCAUUAUUAUAAUGGUAAUUUUAUGUCUCUUGCAAAAUUAAAUCGAUAAAAUUUAAUUUUAAAAAAUCGGUAAAAUUUGAUCCCAACUUAAGUUUUCGAUCUUUUUUUACCCUGACUCCAUUAUACAGUCCACACAUAAUUAUUAUUUUAGGACUAAAAGGUUAGAUCCUAUUUAUAGUUUAACCUGAUCCAUAUUUAUUUUUAUUCCUAAAAAAGUAGGAUCAAAUUCAAGCCAUAAUCAAUUUUCUCAAUAAAAAGGGAUCUCAUCUAAUUAUAUUCAUUUUUGUCACUAAAAAAUGGGAUUUAAUCUUUUUAUACAUAAAAAAUGACUGUAUAUGAAUCAUGUUAGUGAUUUCAAGUUAAAACAUGGUAAAAAACUUAGGUUUCGACUAAAUUUUGUUAACUUGAUUUUAUAAAGGGAGUAAAAUUACUAUUUUAAAAGGGAAGGAAAAAAAAUCAUUUGGUAAGAUGUGAGAGAUAUUUUGAACGAUUUUUUAUUAUUUAAACGGGAGAUCUUGAACUCUGUAUCUCUAAUUUAUACUCUCCUUCCCUAUAUCACCCAAUCCAUCGUUUCCUCUUCCCUGACCCACAUGAUGCUUGAUUUUGAAAAUCAUCCCAUUGUGUUGAUCUCUCAAAUGAAGCGACAUAAAAUCAUGAAGUUUUAUCUUCAUAAUUAUCAUUUAAUGUAAACAUUGUCUCGCUUACAAUAUGUUCUCUAAAUGAUUAGCUCUACAUAAUAGUCAUUCAAUCCAACGUUGUAUGAUUUCAAGAUUUCAACAACUUUCAUAAACUUUUUUCGUCAAUGAUAUCUAUGUUUAGCACUAAACAAUGUGCUAUAUAUAGCUAAUUGUCAAUGAGAUAUUUAUGCACGUACGGAAGUUAACACAUAUAAAUCACACUAAAUUUAUUAUGUAAAUACAUAUACUAACAAUUAUUAUCUUUCAUUGCAUUUAUACACUUUACGUAAUUAUUUUUAUGUUUUAAAAAAAAUUAACAUCUCAACUAUUUCUUCUUCUCGAGUAGUGCGUGCAGUAGACACUCAUUAAAUAUUUCCAAUAUGAUCACAUAUUAUGUUACAUGUAUAAGAACCUACUUAAGUAAAAAAAUCUCUAUUGUUUAUUAAAAUUAAUCCUCAAUAAUUAUGCUACCCCAAAAAAUGUUGCUAGUUCCUAAUUUGAAGUCACUAAUAUUUCAUUCGGUGGAUAGACAAAUAAUCUCGUCAUAUAUCUUGCCUUCCAUCCAAACAUCUCCACAAUAAAUUUGCAACCAAAUCACGGAUUACAUAAGAUUAACUUACCUUAUGAGAUUAGUGACAAAAGGAAAAAAGUGAUUGGAAUUAAGAAUAGACAGCGGGAAAGUGAGUCGGACUCAAAUAAGUGCCCCCGAAGCUGAUGGCUCAAAAAAAGAAAAGAAGCCCAUGUCAGUAGCGGUGGCAGAAGCAGAUGCAGAUGAAUAUCCCCGCACUUUUUCGGGUAAAAGUACACUAAUCAUUUACUCUCCAAAUCGGACGACGCGGAUCAAUGCGUAUGCAGCAACCCUGGUCUCGUCAGCGCCUCUUCAACCCAAGAGACGCGUCUGUUAAAACGCUUGAGCUCGAGCAAAAUGGCCGAAACUCAAACAAGACGAAGCAGAAAAUAAUCGCUUGUUAUAACCUCAAAAUUUUCCUCUAGGGCUUUUGCAUUCUAAUAUCUAGAACAUUCCUAGUCUUGGAACACUGCCCAAAAAAAAAGUUUUCUCUUCUGCUGCUGCUUAACGAACUUGAACUUGAUUCAACCAUUACUACAUUAAUUAGUGGUUCCGGUUCCUAAAUGCGGAGUAAAUCGUGUUGAUUUUCUUUAUUUAAAACAAGAUAAAAAAAUGAAGCGAGUGAAGAAAUCCAGCAGAGUUUGUUGGGCAACUGAAGCUAAUCUUUGUCAGGUAUACUCACACUAAUGCUGUUGAUGACCAUCAUUGUAUCCGUACUAAAUUCGUGUAUUGAAUCAGCUUUUCAGUGUUUUUUUUUUUGAAAACUUUUCAUGUGUUAAUUUUUUUUUUGGAAAAAAUUACUUGGCUUUUUAAGACUUCAAAAAAUGAGAUUUCCUGCUAAUUUGUGAGUGCACAUUAGUUUACAAAUUUGCAAACAAAUAAUUUGCGUGCAUUCAUUUAUCUAUUGUAUUUGGGAACAGUACUUUAUUGAUUUUUGUUGGUAACCUAAUUGAUCCCGUCGAUUGUAGUAGGAUUUGCUUUAAGAAGCCACAACUAUAUUGUUUUUGGAGAGACCAGGUAUUAAAAACUCUGUUGUUUUCUAAAAUGCAGUUCUUAAAAAUACAAACAAAAUUGAAAUUUUUUAAAAAGAGCAUCAUGGACAUAAUUUAGAUAUACAGUCAGUAAAUUUUUAGACAUAUGGAAGUACACAUUAUAAGAGAUAAAACGAGAUAAAAAGGUCAAUAAUCAUUCAAUUUAAGUUUAAACUUUAAAGGAAGCUUUGAACUAUUUGAGGUGUUAAUCUGUUACAUGGGGAAAUCAAAUUCUGUUCUACAUUAAUGAACGCAACUCAUACUUUAGGGAAGCAAAUUUCUCCUUCCUGGAUGCAUGGAUGCAUCUAGUUCGGUGGAGAGAAAGAACUCAACCCAAUAAACAAGCUUCUGAGAAUCCUUCAUUCUCAUUUCACGGAAGAAGUACUCAUUGAGCUCCAAUACGUUGCUAAUACACUGAUAAGCUGGAUGUGUUUUGUGUUUACAAGGAUUCUGGGUGCAUAGCUUUUAAGUUAUAUCUUACUAAAAGAAAUGCAAACUAAGAUGCUUUCGACCAAGCAGGUGCAUGCAGUCAAAAGAAGUAAAAGGAGAGUAGAAAAAGAAGUUCAGGUAAAUGAAGCCUUGAAUAAUAAAUUUGUUCUUUGUAGGCAUGAACAGUUUGCUUCAUUUUUGAGGCAAAGAGAAUGUCUAAAACAUAAGGGAUUCUGAGAGUUCUCCAAGCAGGAAGGAGAUGAAGUUCCGCUUAUACUUUGUAUCAGCUGUUCUGAUUAAGCACGUGAUCUGAACAUAAGCUAUUGAAGAUCAUUUUAAUUUUAACUAAAUGAUCUACAGAUUUCAAGCUUUCGAAACUUGACUAACAGAAUUAUUAUCUGUCACUUAGAUGUAUUCUUUUGAUAUGAUCUUGGUGAUGUUUUGCUUUUCAGAAGUCAUUGAUAAGACAACACAUUUUGGAAGAUGUGAAGAAUGGUAUCAAGAAACUGUCUGGAAAAUACUUUAAUUUCAAAAGUUUUCAAGGUGGAUAAAAUGUCCUGUUUAAGUCUUUUGACUUAAAGGUUCCCAACAUCGAAUGAGCUACUCUUAAGACACUUCUUAGAUUCCAUUGAAUUGACGAUAAUCCUGAUGCUAAAUGAUAUGCUAACAUGUGCACUUAUCAAGCUGGCAUUCAAUGAGUGUGCCAAUGCUUAGUUAGAGCAUGUUAGUCAUUAUGGGCACCAUUUAUGGGAAUAACCGUGCUAUAAUAUCAGACCUAUUGUUCACUGUAUGUGAAACUAUUAUCAGCUAAUGUUGUCGAAAAAUGGUAAACAACUCCAAAAGAUAACUUGAACAUGUUGGGAGUCAAAAGAAACAUAAUCAUCUAAACUUUAAAUUACGCUUUGCAUUUUUAGGUCUACUUAGAGCAUUAACUUUAGGGUAAGCAUAUUGUGAUUGGCUUGCAAUGGGUCGCGUGGGAGCUGUUACACAAUCUGAAGCAGCCAUGAUGUCUAUCGAAGUACAGAAAGAGCUGUUACAAUAUAUAUACAUCAGUCAUGUUAUGAGUUCAAGGAAAGGACAGAGUCAGCUGAUAGAUCAAUGGAAUAUAUACUUUGUAAGGAAAGGAAAAGCUGCUCUCCUUUGCCAAUGUUAAGUCUGAUUUGUUAGAAUUUGUCCACUGGAAUAGCUUAGGAAACACGGUUAUUGUAAAGUGCGAAAUAAUGAGUUCAAGUGGAUGAAAAAUAACCGACAAGGAUAGCCUCUACCUAUUAGGUUGUAGUUGCAAUUAUGUUAGUAAAUCAUCUUGAGCAUAAUUCUCAGCUUCUGAGCAACACAAACCUAGAGUCUAGCAGGGUAUUCAAAGUCCCUAGAGCAGUCCGCAGUUUCUGCCUUUUGCUUAGAUAAAGGGGUAGAAGUAAUGGCACGUUGGAAGUUCUUGUAUGCGCACGCAAUGAACGGUCUUUGGGGAGAUUGUUGAUUCUUGUCUUUAAAUGAAACAUGUACCAUGCAGUGUGAUGUGUUCCCAAGAGGGCAUCAUCACUUGCAUGCGUGAUGCAACAGUAGAAGAAUGCUCCAAUAUAAACGAGAUCGCCUGCUUUAGUUGUGAACGACCAAUAGGUACGUGGUUCUUCUUCUUAUCCUCAGGCUUUUAAUAUGGUAAACUACAAAUUUGUGUUAAUGCGGUUUACUCUGAAGAUGAGGUGACUUGCCAUGCUUCUCCUAUGUGCUUGUUGCAGAAACAUUGAAGUUAUCAUAGGGUUUUCAUAUAGGAUUUCAUAAUCAUAGGUAGUUCUAUACUUUUAUUUAUUAAGGAAAAUUGAUUCUCAAGAUAGUGGAUGCUUGGUUAAAUGUGUAGAACUUUUGCUGCUUUCACUGAUAAACAUAAAGUUGGUACAUUUUGGUUUUUGAAAUAUGGUCGUGCAAGAAAUCAACUAAUUUCAUCAUGUUUUACCAUCUUGAAAUGUAUGCCUUGUCUAUGUGAAGUAUACAUUGCAUUUGGUUGGGAUGAGAAGGCAGGUUCUUGAAUGUGAAGGCAAUGAAACUUCUGCAGCGGAGUUACUGCUGCCUCCUCUAUGCUGUUCCUUUCACUUCCAAUUCGGGCUUCUGGGCUUGUUUUGGGAUUGGGGUGGUGGGGAGGAAUGGGGAAUUGAUUGAAUAGGCUGCCAUGUGGUGCGUCAAACAAUGUAGCCCUGCUGGUUCUUUCUCAGCCUUGUCAUCUCUCUACAUGCAUUAUGUAUAUUACCGUGUUAUUUACAUAUUUAUCCGAUUCAAUACAUUCAAGUCCUCGUUUGUUAUUAGUGCAGGCAAAAUUUGUCCAAUCAGAAGAUUGCCUAUCUGAAGUAGGUAGGGAACCUCCUGGCAAUCCUCACGAAAAGGUAUCAAACGAAAAUAUUGCGAUUGCUGAUGGUUUUCCUGGUUCGUCAGUCGGAAGCUAUCCCAACCAACUGAGCCAUAAAGGUGUCUCACACAUUCCUCAGAUUCCCUGGAGAACUCCUCCUCGAGUAAGCUUAUUAGAAGUGAUAAGACUGCAUAAUUUUCACAUUUUGCUUCUCAAUUUGGGGUAACCUAUUAUGUAUUUAUCAAGCAGUUUGAUUUGAAGUUUGAAUGUCACGUGGCUGCUGGGGAAGAAAGUGAAGAGGUAGAGGUUCAAAAGCACAGGGAAAUGAGAGUGCAUGAGGCAGUUUAUCCUCACUUUUCUGCAGUUCCUCACUGGUAAAGUAAACUCUUUUAGUUUAAUUCAAUUAAUUGCUUUCUUCUCUUGACCACAUCAUUGGCAUUUUCCAAAUAGCCCCUCGAUCUCAUCGGAUAUGGAAGCCGAACAUUUUGAUGAUUGGCAUACUCCGGUUAUUCCUGUCACCGCAAUUGAAGAAGCAGCAGAAACGGACUGCCUCGCCAAGCCAGAACCCGCAAAAUUACCCCAAAGCCCAUCAACUUCUGAAAUUUUUAACAUCCCUCAGAGCAAGUCUCUUCUUUCUCGAGACCUAUCUAAAGGUAAAAAAUCUGAUCAUGCACCACUGCAAGAUGUAGAUGGCCCAAUGGUUGCAGCAGCAGCUGCCACAACUGCAAUCAUGAAAAGUAAAGAGCCUCAAAGUUUAAUAGAUCCAGAGUUGUUGAUAAAGCUUCUUAGCAACCCAGAAUUGGUACAGAAGCUGAUUGAUGAACGCAGACUAGCUUCAGAUACUACAACUGGAACAUCUGGAUCAAAGAUGGUUGAGUCUUCAGUUCACCGUCCCAGCGCUAAAGGCAGCUUUCUGUUUGAGGAAUCUACCAUCGAAAGCUACAAACCUGACAAUCCCAGAACAGAGUUCAUCCACCGGCCAUCAAAAGUGAAAUGCUCGCCAGCUGCCCCAAGUAGAAUUAGGGCUCAGUUGGUCAGUACUGAAACUGGACCAACAUUUGCAUGGGAUGAAGUAGAACAGUUACUUCAUUUUCAGAGCUCAACUAUUGUUUCAUUGGUCCAAAAGUCCACUACCGAAAAUACGCAUCCAGGCAAUGCAGGAAUUGAGGCUCUACUAAGGCCAGGGAAUCAACCAUUAGCUGUUAAGGCAGAAACUGGAACAGGUCUUGGGCCAAAGCAAGUGACCACAUCAAUUUCAUUACUGAGCUCAAAGUCUGAUUUGCCAAGUCAGAACUCCAAUUAUGAAGUCUUUCAAAGAGCUGAUGUUGGAAAUAUGUCUCUGCUGAAAGCAUCACGUGCCUUAUCAAGCUCAACUCCUGAUGUUUUAAGUAAGAAAUCCACUGGUAGAUAUAUUCAACUGGCCGAUGAUGGACAUAUGGCUGUACCAAGGCUAGUGAAACGACCACAAGCCAACAAUAUUGAAGUUGGAGCAGGCUCUAGAUCAAAGACAGUGGCACCAUUAGUUCCCUUACUGAGCUCAAACCCUGAUUUUCCAGGUAAGAAUUUCAUGAAAGGACAUAGUCAACUGGGUAAUUUCAGAGAUCUCUCAGUACCCAGGUUUGUGAAACCAAACCUAGCUGGCUCUUCUAUAUCAGGAACAGCUUUUGAGCCAAAGAAAGUGACGCCAUCCGUUCCUUUGUCAAGCGUAUUGCCUGAUUUCAGCAAGAAGUCUUCUGGAGAACAUGGUCCACUUUUAUACACUAGCUUCCCUGAGCCUGCUGUAGAGAGGCAUUCCCAUACCUUUCCCCGAAUGCAACCUGAAUCCUUGGUUGAUCGGUUGGAUACUGCAUAUAUAGCACCACGUCUUGGAACUUCACCUGUCCCUGGAUCACUAGCUGAGGUAUAUCGCCUUAAGAAGUUGAUUGAAGAACAUGGGUCGCAUGAUCGUGCAGGAAAUGAUUAUGUUGGUGAAAUUCCUGCUCCAUCUUCUGUGCCUGGCGCAGAGCAUCCAUCUUUUCCUUUGGAGCCCUUGAGGGUAAAAUUCCCGUCCACAGAUCUUUUUGACAAUUAGUUGUUGUGCAUUUUCUUGUUCUCUGACAACCACAUCUCUUUGUUUACAGAAAGAUAUCAGUUACUUCCAGUCCUUAAUCAGGCAACAUGGAGAAGAAAAAGGAAGUCAGGAUGAUGAGCUGUCUCUAUAUGGAAUAUCUCACAAUCACCUGCAGUCCAAGGAAUCAGAUCGAAAGUAUAAGAGAACUUGUAAGUUGUAUAAUAGUUCAAUGGGAUGCCGAAAUGGUUCCAGCUGCCGUUACGAGCAUGAUGUACCUGGACAGUGGAGGUCUGAUGUUGUGUUAGAGGCGCCUGGUGCAAAGAGGUUGAAGCUUGGUGGAAGUUUUACAGGGAGAACAUGAAGUAAAAUGUUGUGAGAGAUUGGCAACUAAAUUGUUAUUUCCGCAUAGUUGUUAUAGUUUGUACAGCUCAAGGACCAUUCUGUUUAAGUUGGCAGUUAAUGUCAACAAUGGAGGUCUGAAGGAACAUUUGUCAUAAUUUAGAAUUUCAGGACUUCCCUUCUUGUUUUCUCUCCUAACGUGAGUCUUUGUUUGAGACUCGACCUAUAGUAGCUUGAAUGGGCCACUUCUAAGGAGUCGAUCAAUUAUCAGAUGAGUGAUGUUGAGCAUGCGAGAUUGCUGGACUCUCAAGAAUACAUCUAGGUCAUACGGGGAGAAAUUUUCUUGCAAUUUUCAUUUCAUUGCAAUGCAUGCAAAAAGGGAUCCAGAGUUCUGCAAGUCUAAAUGGUUUUCAACUACCGUGAAGUAACCGGCUCUUUUCUGCUAGUGGUUCUCCUUACUGGACUUUUUUCAAGUGGUUCAUCCUUACUAGGCAUUUUUUUUUUGGGGGGGACAGACGUCCUUACCAAACUAAUAGAGCCAACUUCAAUUUUCAAUUUUAGAGAGAGUAAAAUUGGUAAUUUGGUUUGAGAUGUCUUUUAAAAGUUUCAAUUUCCAACUAAUAGUUAAAACUAUACCUUCUAUGGUUCUUUUAUUUUUUCGUUGAUCUCCUUAAAAACUAAUUUACAUCUAGGACAAUUGUCAUUGUUGAAGUACUAAAAACAAAAGAAGAAGAAGAAGAAAUAUUUCAACUUACCCCUUUUUUUGAAGCUAAAUAUUUCAACUUACUCUUUGGUGUCAUCAUAUCUCUUCUUUUCUCUUUAUUUAAUACUCACAAUCAAGAGAUGGCUUUUAUUCAAACUUCGUCUGCUUAUCUCUUCUUGCAUCUCCAAAUCUUUCCAACCAAAUGAAAGUGUCAUUAUGUAAUCAAAAAUGAGAAGGGGGCAUUUGAUAUUCUUGUUACAGUUCAAAGAAUGGUAAAGACAAAAAGCAAUAUAAGUUACAGAAAAGAAUAAGACGGAAAAUAGGACCAAUUAAUGAAAAUAUCCAAACAUAUGGAGGGAGAAGAGGAGUUUAUGAAAUAGAACGCCCUGCACCCUUUUUCUUAUCUUUAGUAAUUAGUCUGACACAUCGAGGAAAUUUAGGUAGGUAGAUAAAAGAUUUCUACUCCAACCCAGGCACGACCUUAGACAAUGAGCACACUCUACGAUAUAAUUCACACUUAGAUAGCCAAACAAAGGUUGAAUUUGGAGUUAAAUGUUACUUUGUUAAUAGAUUUCUGUUCCAUUCCAAGCACGGACCUAGACAAUUAGAAUGGUUUGUGAUAUAAUUUGCACUCACAUUACCAAUUAUAGUUUGAAUUUAGAGUUGGGUUUUUUUUUUAAUCGAGACGGUAGAAUUGUAUUACUUGACACAAAAGUAUUUACAAAACGAGCAAAUGCUCGAUACUUACAACGUGCCAUUAGCACAGCAAAUUAGAAUUAACCCUACGUCUUGAUAAUUGCUCAAAGCUUGAACACUAAACUGAACACUUGGAUAAUUUCUAUUCACCAUUUCUAAGCAAAAGUAGCAUUGUAAAACAAGGUACUCAGCCCUUGGACGUCCUGUAUCAAUAAUGUUGUUACCCACCCAUGCAUCCAUUAAUUUUUUUCGUUGGAUUUUCUGUAGAAGAUUUUUGUCAGGAACUCCAAUGUUGACAAGUCUCCAUUCCUGUUCUGCUGCCUUGAUUAGAGCAAGCUUGACACCCUUCAGCAAGUUUGAUUCUCACUUGCUCUUUCUCUCAUUGCCCAUCCCAUUAGGUCCUACUCUCUUCCUUCAUUUGCCACAAUACCAUAGCCAACAGCUCUUUCUUUCUUGUUCCAUUGCACAGUUAUCCUCAGAUGCAUUCCUAUUGAUGUAGUCUCAGCAUUCUGCACUGCAUCUUGGCCACUGUGUUGCUGACGUACUGUUGUUUUACCUAUGUUACACCUCCUAGCUCUCCCUACUGCAUGGUCGAAUUGCCAACUAUGGCUUGAGUUUGGAAUUAGGAGUUAUUUCAUUACCAUAUUCAUUGGAUAUGGUUAGGCUGUGUUUAGCUUUAGAUCUUGUAGUGCUUCUUUGUUCUCACCUUAGAUUAGUUUCUUUGUAAUUAAAGGAUAGCCUGCUUCCAACCAUAUUUAAAAAAAAAAUUAUAUCUGCGGUUUUUGCACUCUUUGGCUUAAAAACAGUGAACUUCUUAAUUUAUCUCAGAACUUACAAACAAUAUGAAUCUAUGUAAUUGUUUAAAACACUCGUGUUGAAAUGAUUAUAGCUUCUUUCUAUUGUUAUGUAUUAAUUUGAUUUUGCAAAAACAACUGUGGAAUGGCAAAAUGUCUAUGGUUGCUUCGGUGGCGUUACACUUAGAAAAGAUAAGGAAAACUCUAGACCUUUUGUAAGACUGUUUCUAUUGGUCAAAGUAUUAAAUUUCCUUAGGCUGGUUUGGAUGAAUUUUGGACCGUCACUGGGAGAAGAACCAAAUAAAAAAAAAAUUAAGAGAAUACAAGAGAACGGAAAUGAUUGAAUAGUUAAUAUGGUUCGCAUUCCAAAAGUGGCAAAACAAUGAGGAAAAUUUAUUGAAGCCUACAUUUUUUAUUGGACAAAUAGUUCAAAACGUCCCCAUAUUUCGUUAAAUGAAUGAUAAUUUUAUAUCAUUUAUAAAAUUAAAUUGGCAAAAUUUGAUCUCAACCUAAGUUUUUGACCAUUUUUUACCCUGAAUCCACAUAUGAUUAUUGCUUUAAGGACAAAAAUGUUAGAUCCUAUUUGUAGUUGAACAAAUUAUCCUAUCCAUAUUUAUUUUUACCUCUAAAAAAGGAUGAUCUAACUCAAACCAUAUUCAAAAUUUUCCAAAAAAAAGAGAUUUGACCCAAUUUAUAUUCAUUUUGUAUCACUAAAAAAAGUGAGAUUUGACCUUUUUGUACGUAAAAAAUGAUUACAUAUGAUCACAUAAGUUAAAAAAGUGAUUGGAAACCUAGGUUAGGACUAAGAAUUUAUAAGAAACGUAAAAUUAAUAUUUUAAAAAUGAAGGACAAAAUAAUUCAUUUAGUGAGAUGUGAGCAAUGUUUUGAACAAUUUUUCCUUAUUUAUUUUCAAAGUUCUAAUUCUGCCCACGAGAUGUUAAAGAAUUAACAUAGCGGUGCUUGAUUAUGAAAAAAAUCAUCCAUUUUUGUUAAUCUCUCAAAUGAAGCAAGGGAAAAUCAUGAAGUUUUAUCUUCAUAUUUAUCAUUUAUAGACACUAGCAUUCUAACCCCUGCUAUGCAUGGAUUUAUAUUUCAACUUUCAAAUUGAAAAUUAAAAUUUGAAGCAAAAGAAAAAAUUCUCAUAACUUUCAGUUUAGUUUUAUGCUUUUAAAAUAACUUAUAUUUGUAUCUUCGAAAUAAAAGCACCAGACUUAAUUACUUGGUAUAUAAAUUUGGAUUGAAUAGAGUCAAUUUUUCUUUUGAAAAAGUUCAUAAUUGAUUCCAUAUUCAUUCUCCCAAUUGAAAGGAAAAAUUUGAAGGAAAAAAACCAUAACAUGCAAUUUAGUUUACUAAUAUUUUUAGAAUAUAUUUAAUUUUAUCUCCUAUAAUAUGAUAACUAUAAUAAACCAAGAAUUGACCACAGUGGUUGUAAAUAUUGGCAUCUAAAGAUGUAAGUAAAAAAAUGAUAAUAUCUUAUACUAUCCCUUACAACUAUAAAAAUAAUAAAAAAUUUAGAUUAUAAAAAUGGCAGAGUAGUGUUACAUAUUUAUAUAUGAAGAAAACAAUAAAAAAUACAUAAAAUAGUCAAUAAUAUUCAAAGUUCUUUUUAGUAGUUGGAUUUCACACUCUUAUUCAAACCCAAUUAGUGUCGAAUUUAGAUCAAAUAUAUAUAAAUUGGGUUGAUAUAGUUACUGUCAAAUGUUCUAUAUCUUUCUAUUAAACUAUAUUGUUACCUAUUUCUCUAUUAUUGGUAAGAUUUGUGUUAUUUUUAUUUUUAUUUUUAUCAAAAACAAAAUUUUAAAUAAAAAUUUCCACUUUGACGGACUAGUAGGAUUUUUUUUUUAAUUUAGUGAUUUUAUAAUUUAGGUUUCAAGAAUAGUACGUUAUUAAUUUUUUAAAUCCAGGGCUAAUAAAUAUUAUUUCUUUUUUUUGUUUUGUGCUUUUAGUUAGAGUUACUAAGUUGAAAGGUAAAAUAUUAUUUUUUACUUUUUUAGUCUUAAUAGAACGUAUGAUGUUUCAUCUUUAUUUACCCUUUCAUGAUAAACUUCAAACCAAAUUCUUAUAUUAAUGGAGCCACUUCUUACAUUUUAAAUUCAAAAGGCACGAAGAAAUAUUUAAUAAUUAAAAAUUUUAAAAUUCUAUAAAAAAAAAAGAAUAUGGAGUUGGAAGCAUUAUAAUUUGACCAUUCUAAAAACCCUUUCUUCAAUUUAUAUAAACUAGUCUAAACACCUGUGCUACGCAUAGUAGAUCAUGUUUUUGGAAGAAAUUAUAAUCGAUGGAGAAAUUUAAAAAGAGUAAGAAAUGUACGUAAUUGUUCGUAUAAUUUAGGGCACAGGAAAGUAUAGUUAAAAAAUGAGAUUUUGUAGCAAUAGUUCAAUAUAUGAUAAAAGCAUCCCCAUUAUUUAUAAACUACCACAUUGAUGGAAGUUAAAUUCUGAAAAAAAAAUAGAAAUCUAUAUCAUAAAUUGAGCGACAUAAGGGUUCAAUUAAAUGUCACUGAAUAUUUAAUUUGAUAAGUAAAUGAACUACUUACAAAUAUUUUGCCUUCGAUUUGAUAAUCUUUUAUGAAAGUGAGAACAUUUUUCACACCAAUCAACUCUGAGUACAAAUACCAGUAUUGGGGGUUUAAUUAAUUCUGUUGAAUUUUGUGGAGUUUGUACUAUAAAUGAGAAUGCACAAUUUUCGCAUGAAUUAAUGUGUUGGUCAAAUAAUAUACUACCAUUUACCUAACAAUUAAGAGUAUACAAAAUUUAGAAUUAUCAUUUGUUUUAGAAAGUUUGUAAAUAAUAUUGUAUAAAAAUAUAUACGUAUAAAUAAUUUAUACCUUCCCUUUUAAAUCUCUACGAUAAGAAGCAACACAACAAAGUAUGAAUCAUGCAUGCCUGUCUUGAAGAGCGAGAUAUAGGUUACUACUGGAAUUUCUAACUUGUAUAUUAACAUUGUAUAUAUUAAGUUGAAAUUGUGAUAUACAAUAAAAAAUGUAAGUAAAAUUAAAUAUAUGGGAAAAUAAUUACCUAAUAACAGUGUCAACUAUGUCAUUACAAUGGAUACACACCAUUUUUGAAUAAUGAGAUUGACAUGGUUGUCCACAAUUUUUGCAUAACUUAUGGAACAUAUUGUCUAUGUUAAUGCUUUGAAUGCAAGCAAGUAUCCGAAAAUAUUUAACUUAAAACCAUUCAAAAAAUGUAUAGAUUACAACUAUUAAUUCAAAAUAAUAUGUAGAUCAUUGUUCAAUAAUUAAUUAAUUGAAAGAAUUUUUACCUUAGGUGUGACUGCAAAUGUUUCCUCCUUUAGAAUCUAACGAGUUUGAAAUUUAGGCGUUGGUGAAAGAGAUGGUAAAUUGCGAUUUUUGGUAAAAUUAUGUUGUUAUCUCUUGUUAUUGGAUUGGAAGAGUUUUAAUCGAAGUGGAAUUGCUAAUUGGAGGAGUAUUAAUUGAAGUGGGAAAAGUGUGUGAAGGGAAGAGUGUUAGUUGGAGUGGAAUUCUUAUUUGAUGAAAACGUAAGUGUGUGUUUCAAAUGUAGACAUGAUGUAUUUUACGAAAUAAAUUAAAUGUAAAAUGCUAGAAAAACGAAAUUGGGAGUGGGAAAGUGUGUGAAGGUUUGUUACUAAAAAUCCCUUCUCAAAUUUAUACAGAUAUAGAUAUAGAAUAUCUCGCUUACAAUAUGCUCCCUAAAUGAUUAGCUCUAUAUAAUAGUCGUUCAUCCGAAUGUUGUAUGAUUACAAGAUUUCAACAACUUCCAUAAACUUUUUUUUUUUUUUUUUUAUCAAUGAUAUCUAUGUUUAACUCUAAAUAAUCCGCUAUAGCUAAUUGUCAGUCAGAUACUUAUUAAUUGCACUAACUACAUCACGUUAGCUCAUAAAAAUACACUAGUCCGCUAGAAUAGUCCAUCAUAUUACAUGAACGUGUUUGAAAUUUAAUUGGUCUAAAAUAUAAUUGCAUUAUUCUAACAAAUGCACAUUAACACAUAUAAAUCACACUAAAUUUAUUAUGUAAUGAUCUUUCAUUGCUUUUAUACACUUUCCCUAACUACUUUUUUUUUUUUUUUUAAAUAAACAUCUUCUUCUUUUGUGGAGUGCUUAGCAUGGGCUCGUUAAAUAACUCCAAUAUAAUUGUAUAUUAUGUUACGUGUACAAGAGCACAAGUGCUAGUUCCUAAUUUGAAGUUAUAGACUUUCGUUGAUUAAUCGUGGGUUGAAAAAGAAUCUCAUCUUCUACAACUCGUACAUCUUGCCUUCCAUGUUCCAUCUAAAUAUCUCCAUAAUAAAUUUGCAACCAAAUCCCGGAUUACAUAAGAUUAACUUACCUUAUGAGAUUGGUGACAAAAGGAAAAAAAGUAUUGAAAUUAAUAAGAGACCCUUGAUGAUAGCGGGAAAGUGAGUCGGACUCAAAUAAGUGCCCACGAAGCUGACGGCUCAAAAACCAAAAGAAGCCCACGUCAGUAGCGGUGGCAGAAGCAGAUGCAGAUGAAUAUCCCCGCACUUUUUCAGGUAAAAGUACGGUGGCCUAUGACGCUAAUUACACUAAUCAUUUUCUCUCCAAUUCGGGCAACGCGGAUCAAUGCGUAUGCAGCAACCCUGGUCUCGUCGGCACCUCUUCAACCCAAGAGACGUGUUUGUUAAAACGCUUGAGCUCAAGCAAAACGGCCGAAACUCAAACAAGACGAAGCAGAAAAUAAUCGCUUGUUAUAACCUCAAAAUUUUCCUCUAGGGCUUUUGCAUUCUAAUAUCUAGAACAUUCCUAGUCUUGGAACACUGCCCAAAAAAAAAAAAAGUUUUCUCGCUGCUGCUGCUUAAAGAACUUGAACUUGAUUCAACUAUUACUGCAUUAGUGCUUCCGGUUCCUAAAUGUGGUGUAAAUCGUGUUGAAUUUCUUUAUGUCAAACAAGAAAAAAAAAAUGAAGCGAGAGAAGAAAUCCAGCAGAGUUUGUUGGGCAACUGAAGCUAAUCUUUGUCAGGUAUACUCACACUAAUGCUGUUGAUGAUCAUCAUUGUAUCCGUACUAAAUUCGUGUAUUGAAUCAGCUUUUCAGUGUUUUUUUUUCUGAAAAAUUUUGAUGUGUCAUUUUUUUUUGGGAAAAUAUUAUUACUUGGUUUUUACGACUUCAAAAAUGAGAUUUCAUGCUAAUUUGUGAGUGCACAUUAGUUUACAAAUUUGCAAACAAAUAAUUUGUGUGCAUUCAUUUAUCUAUUGUAUUUGGGAACAGUACUUUAUUGAUUUUUAUUGGUAACCUAAUUGAUUCUGUCCAUUGUAGUAGGAUUUGCUUUAAGAAGCCACAACUAUUGUUUUUGGAGAGACCAGGUAUUAAAAACUCUGUUGUCUUAAAAAAUGCAGUUCUUAAAAAUACAAACAAAAUUGAAAUUUUGAAAAGAGCAUCAUGGACAUAAUUUAGAUAUACAGUCAGUAAAUUUUUAGACAUAUGGAAGUACACAUUAUAAGAGAUAAAACGAGAUAAAAAGGUCAAUAAUCAUUCAAUUUAAGUUUAAACUUUAAAGGAAGCUUUGAACUAUUUGAGGUGUUAAUCUGUUACAUGGGGAAAUCAAAUUCUGUUCUACAUUAAUGAACGCAACUCAUACUUUAGGGAAGCAAAUUUCUCCUUCCUGGAUGCAUGGAUGCAUCUAGUUCUGUGGAGGAAAGAAUUCAACCAUUUAAACAAGCUUUUGAGAAUCCUUCAUUCUCAUUUCACGGAAGAAGUACUCACUGAGCUCCAAUACGUUGCUAAUACACUUAUAGGCUGGAUGUGUUUUGUGUUUACAAGGAUUCUACGUGCAUAGCUUUUAAUUUAUAUCUUACUAAAAGAAAUGCAAACUAAGAUGUUUUCGACCAAGCAGCGUGCAUGCAGUCAAAAGAAGGAGAGUAAACAAAGAAGUUCAGGCAGGAACAGUUUGCAUCAUUUUUGAGGCAAAGAGAAUGUCUAAAACAUAAGGGAUUCUGAGAGUUCUUCAAGCAGGAAGGAGAUGAAGUUCUGCUUAUACUUUGUAUAAGCUGUUCUGCCUAAGCAUGUGAUCUGACCAUAAGCUAUUGAAGAUCAUUAAUUUUAACUAAAUGAUCUACAGAUUUCAAGCCUUCGAAACUUGACUAACAGAAGUAUUAUCUGUCACUUAGAUGCAUUCUUUUGAUAUGAUGUUGGUGAUGUUUUGCUUUUCAGAAGUCAUUGAUAAGACAAAACAUUUUGGAAGAUGUGAAGAAUGGUAACAAAAAACUGUCUGGAAAAUACUUUAAUUUCAAAAGUUUUCAAGGUGGAUAAAAUGUCCUGUUUAAGUCUUUGACUUAAAGGUUCCCAAGAUUGAAUGAGCUACUCUUAAGACACUUCUUAGAUGCCAUUGAAUUGACGAUAAUCCUGAUGCUAAAUGAUAUGCUAGCAUGUGCACUUAUCAAGCUGGCAUUCAAUGGGUGUGCCAAUGCUUAGUUAGAGCAUGUUAGUCAUUAUGGGCACCAUUAAUGGGAAUAAGUGUGCUAUAAUAUCAGACCUAUUGUUCACUGUAUGUGAAACUAUUAUCAGCUAAUGUUGUCGAAAAAUGGUAAACAACUCCAAAAGAUAACUUGAACAUGUUGGGAGUCAAAAGAAACAUAAUCAUCUAAACUUUAAAUUACGCUUUGCAUUUUUAGGUCUACUUAGAGCAUUAACUUUAGGGUAAGCUUAUUGUGAUUGGUUUGUAACGGUCCACGAGGGAGCUAUUUCACAAUCUGAAGCAGCUAUGAUGUUUAUCGAAGUACAGAAAGAGCUGUUACAAUAUAUGCGUCAGUCAUGUUAUGAGUUCAAGGAAAGGACAGAGUCAGCUGAUAGAUCAAUGGAAUAUAUACUUUGUAAGGAGAGGAAAAGUUGCUCUCUUUUGCCAAUGUUAAGUCUGAUUUGUUAGAAUUAGGCCAUUGGAGUAGCUUAGGAAACACAGUUGGUUAUUGUAAAGUGUGAAAUAAUGAGUUCAAGUGGAUGAAAACUAACCAACAGGGAUAGCCUCUACCUAUUAGGUUGUAGUUGCAAUUAUGUUAAAUCAUCUUGAGCAUAAUUCUCAGCUUCUGAGCAGCACAAACCUAGAGUCUAGCAGGGUAUUCAAAGUCCCUAGAGCAGUCCACAGUUUCUGCCUUUUGCUUAGAUAAAGGGGUAGAAAUAAUGGCACAUUGGAAGUUCUUGUAUGCGCACGCAAUGAACGGUCUCUGGGGAGGUUGUUGAUUCUUGUUUUUAAAUGAAACAUGUACCAUGCAGUGUGAUGUGUCCCCAAGAAGGCAUCAUCACUUGCAUGUGUGACUCAUCAGUAGGAGAAUGCUCCAAUAUGAACGAGAUCACUUGCUUUAGUUGUGAACAAACAGUAGGUACAUGGUUCUUCUUCUUAUCCACACGCUUUUAAUUUGGUAAACUAUAAAUUUGUGUUAAUGUGCUUUACUCUGAGGAUUAGUUGACUUGCCAUGCUUUUCUGUGUGCUUGUUGCAGAAACAUUGAAGUUAUCGAAGGGUUUUCGUAUAUGAUUUCAUAAUCAUAGGCAGUUCUAUGCCAAAAUUAAAGGAAAAUUGAUUCUCAACAAAGUGGAUGCUUGGUUAAAUGUACAUAGAACUUUUGCUUCUUUCACUGAUAAAAAUAAAGUUGGUACGUUUUGGUUUUUGGCAUGGACCUCAGCUUUAAUGUUGUCUCUUAAUUACAUGCUUGAUGUGGAAUGUUGGUAAACUGUCACAUUUGGCAUGGAGCUCAGUGAUCAUUAUAUUCUUUGUAGAUGUAUGUGGAUGUUUAAAGUGCAUUGAUAUGAGAAAGGAAGAGGACAAAUUUUUUUAAAUGGAUGACCUUGGUUAGUUGGAGCUAAAAAAAUGAUGAUUAAGUGAGUACUUCCCUUCAGAAAUCCUUGGCUUCAUAAUCAUGUCACCGCGUGGUAUCUUCUAGUUUCUAACGGGGAGUCUUCUUUCAUUUCAUAGAUGCUUGGGAUGUUUCAAUUAUUUUGGUUAUCAAUUUCAGCAUAUGAUAUCAUCACUUACUAUGUCAAAUAUGACAAUGCUCACUUCUACUUAGGUUGAACCAGUAUAACUUUAAGAGUAUAGUGGAACAGUAUUCACUUGACACAAUGUAUAACCGUUACUUGCAUUUGAAGUCAUAACUUUGCUCAUCUUGAGUUAAGAAUGCUUACGCCCUGUCAGCUCCACCAUAGUUGCACCAUAAGUGGAUAGUGUGAAUUGCUGAAGUCAUUGUUUUGAUGCUUCUUGCUCCAUUGUUUUCUGUUGAGUCAUUGCUUAUUGCUGCUAAAAGGAGCAUCUUUCGCUAUCUCAAAUAAUGCAUCCCAAUACAGAAUAAUAAAGUUCUUCGCCCUUCUGUUAAAUAUUUAAUACGCUACUUUAUAGGCUGUUACCUUUGCUUUUCGAUAUGUGGUUUAAAUUCUCUUGAUUUACAUACAUAUUGGUCUCGCUGAAGUUGUCGAACCACUUUUUGAGUUAAAUUCAGCAAGACUUUAUAUGAAGCACCUCUGUUGCAGUUCUCUAGUUGUCUUUUGUCUGCAAGGAGUAAUGUUUUGAAAUAUGGUUGUGCACACAAACAAAUAAUUUCGUCAUGUUUUACUAUCUUGAAGUGUAUGCAUUGUCUAGGUAAAGUAUAUAUUGCAUUUAGUUGGGAUGAGAAGGCAGGUUCUUGAAUGUGAAGGCAAUGAAACUUCUGCAGCAGGAUGGGUGAAAUGAAGUUAUUGCUGUCUCCUAUAUACUGUUCCUUUCACUUCCAAUUCUGGGCUUCUGGGCUUGUUUUGGGGUUCAGGGUUGGGGGGAAUGGGGGAUGAUUGAAUUGGCUGCUAUGUGGUGCGUCAAACAAUGUAGUCCUGGUGGUUCUUUGUCAGCUUUGUCGUCUCUCUACAUGCUUUAGGUAUAUUACCACGUUCUUUACAUAUUUAUCCGAUCCAAUACAUUCCAGGUCCCUCGUUUGUUAUUUGUGCAGGUAAAAUUUUUCCAAUCAGAAGAUUGCCCAUCUGCGGUAGGUAGGGAACCUCCUGGAAAUCCUCACGAAAGGGUAUCAAAUGCAAAUAUUGCGACUGCUGAUGGUUGUCCUGGAUCGUCAGUCGGAAGCUACCCCAACCUACUGAGCCAUAAAGGUGUCUCACACAUUCCUCAGAUUCCGUGGAGAACUCCUCCUCGAGUAAGCUUAUGAGAAGUGAUAAGACUGCAUAAUUUUCACAUUUUGCUUCUCAAGUUUGGGUAACCUAUUAUGUAUUUAUCAAGCAGUUUGAUUUGAAGUUUAAAUGUCACGUGGCUGCUGGGGAAGAAAGUGAAGAAGUAGAGGUUCAAAAGCAUAGGGAAAUGAGAGUGCGUGAGGUAGUUUAUCCUCACUUUUCUGCUGUUCCUCCCAGGUAAAGUAAACUCUUUAGUUUAAUACAAUUAAUUGCUUUCUUCUCUUGACCACAUCAUUGGCAUUUUGCAAAUAGCCCCUCGAUCUCAUCGGAUGUGGAAGCCGAACAUUUUGAUGAUUGGCAUACUCCGGUUAUUCCUGUCAUUGCAAUUGAAGAAGCAGCAGAAACGGACUGCCUGUAUAAUGAAACAGCAGCGCUCAACAUUUCCGCCAAGUCAGAACCAGCAAAUAUGUCCCAAAGCCCAUCAACUUCUGAAAUUUUUGACAUCCCUCAGAGCAAGUCUCUUCUUUCUCGAGAGCUAUCUAAAGGUAAAAAAUCUGAUCAUGCACCACUGCAAGAUCUAGAUGGCCCAAUGGUUGCAGCAGCAGCUGCCACAACUGCAAUCAUGAAAAGUAAAGAGCAUGGAAGUUUAAUAGGCCCAGAGUUGAUGAUAAAGCUUCUUAGCAACCCAAAAUUGGUACAGAAACUGAUUGAUGAACGAGGACUAGCUUCAGAUACUACAACUGGAACAUCUGGAUCAAGGAAGGCCGAGUCUUCAGUUCACCGUCCAAGCUCUCAAGGCAGCUUUCUGUUUGAGGAAGCUACCAUCGAAAGCUGCAAAUCUGACAGUCCCAGAACAGAGUUCAUCCACAGGUCGUCAAAGAUGAAAGGCUCACCAGCUGCCCCAAGUAGAAUUAGGGCUUACGUGGCCAGUACUAAAACUGGACCAUCAUCUGCAUGGGAUGAAGUAGAACAGUCACUUCAUUUUCAGAGCUCAACUCUUGUUUCAUUGGUCCAGAAGUCCACUACCAAAAAUACACGGCCAGGCAAUGCAGGAAUUGAGGCUCUACUAAGGCCAGGGAAUCAAUCAUUAGCUGCUAUGGCACAAAUUGGAACAGGUCUUGGACCAAAGCAAGUGACCACAUCAAUUUCAUUACUGAGAUCAAAGUCCGAUUUGCCAAGUCAGAACUCCAAUUGUGAAGUCUUUCAAAGAGCUGAUGUUGGAAAUAUGUCUCUGCUGAAAGCAUCAGAUGCCUUAUCAAGCUCAACUCCUGAUGUUUUGAGUAAGAAAUCCACUGGUAGAUAUAUUCAACUGGCCGAUAAUGGACAUAUGGCUGUACCAAGGCUAUUGAAACGAGCACCAUCCACCAAUAUUGAGAUUGGAGCAGGCUCUUGCUCAAAGACAGUGGCACCACCAGUUCCCUUGCUGAUCUCAAAUCCUGAUUUUCCAGGUAAGAAUUUCAUGAAAGAACAUAGUCAACUGGCUAAUUUCAGAGAUCUUUUCGUACCCAGGUUUGUGAAACCAACUGUAACUGGCUCUUCUAUAUCAGGAACAGCUUUUGAGCCAAAGAAAGUGACACCAUCUGUUCCUUUGUCAAGCGCAUUGCCUGAUUUCAGCAAGAAAUCUUCUAGAGAACAUGGUCCACUUUUAUACACUAGCUUCCCUGAGCCUGCUGUAGAGAGGCAUUCCCAUACCUUUCCCCGAAUGCAAGCUGAAUCCUUGGUUGAUCGGUUGGAUACUGCAUAUAUAGCAGCACAUCUUGGAACUUCACCUCUCUCUGGAUCACUUGUGGAGGUAUAUCGCCUUAAGAAGUUGAUUGAAGAACAUGGGUCGCAUGAUUGUGCUGGAAAUGAUUAUGUUGGUAGAAUUCCUGCUCCAUCUUCUGUGCCUGGCGCAGAGCAUCCAUCUUUUCCUUUGGAGCCCUUGAGGGUAAAAUUCCCAUGCACAUAGCUUUUGACAAUUACUUCUUGUGCAUAUCCCUGCUCUCUGACAACCACAUCUCUUUCUUUACAGAAAGAUAUCAGUUACUUCCAGUCCUUAAUCAAGCAAUACGGGGAAGAAAGAGGAAAUCAGGAUGAUGAGCUGUCUCUGUAUGGAAUAUCUUACAAUCACGUGCAAUCAAAGGAAGCAGAUCGAAAGUCUAAGAGAGCAUGUAAGUUCUAUAACAGUUCAAAGGGAUGCCGAAAUGGUUCCAGCUGCCCUUUCGAGCAUGAUGUACCUGGACGGUGGAGGACUGAUGUUGUGUUGGAGGCGCCUGGUGCAAAGAGGGUGAAGCUUGGUGGGAUUUUUACAGGGAGAACAUGAAGUACAAUGUUAUUUCUGCAUGGUGGUUAUCGUUUGUACAGCUCAAGGACCAUUCUGUUUAAUCUGGCAGUUAAUGUCAACCAUGGAGGUCCGAAAUAAAAUUUGUCAUAGUUUAGAAUUUUAGGAGAAACAUAUUUUGAAAUGUCCUCUGCAUCAGUGACGGAGCCAGGAUUUUUUUUUUGGAGGGGUCAAAAUUGAAAUUCCAUUCAAAGAUGACUAAUUCAUAUAUAUAUAUAUAUAUAUAUAUAUAUAUAUAUAUAUCAACUCUCAUAAUAUAAACUAAAAUUGAAAAAAUUUAGGGGGGUCAAUUUUAUUUUACAUACAUAUUUACAUAUUAUGAAUUAAAAUUCUCAAAACUUAGGGGCCCUUGGCUCCGUCAUUGCUCUGCAUUGUUUAGUACAGACUACAGAACUUCCCUUCCUGUUUUCCCUCUUCACCUGAGUCUUUGAUUCAGACUCGAUCUAUGGUAGCUUGAAUGGGCCACCGGCCACACCUAGGGAGUUGAUCAUUUUUCAGAUGAGUGAUGUUGAGCAUGCUGGAUUCCUGGACUGUCAACAAUACAUCUCGGUCAUAUGGGGAGAAAUUUUCUUGCAAUUUGCAUUUAUUGCGAUGCAUGCAAAAUGAGAGCCAGUGUUCUGCAAGUCUAAACGGGUUUCACCGACCGUGAAGUAAUCGGCUCUUUUCUGCAAGUCUGGUGGUAUUUUUGGUGUUCUGGGCCGCUUGUAGAAGGCAUGGUAGAUUGCGAGCUGCCCAAGUUGGGAAAGCAAAACCUUGUUCGGUACUUGAUAUGGGGCUUAAUCUUUUUCUGCUUAUUCUUUAGUCCGAGUCAAAUCUGGCCAUCUUUGCUUCCUAGCUUAUUCUUCCCAACCGCCCCACUCUUCAGGAUGAUAAAGUCCGUUGUUCUAGCUUAUUCUUCCUAGUUUUGCUUGCUUCUUUACGGCUAUACUUCAGAUCAACAAGCACAUCCUCCUAAUUUCUUUCAAUAUCACGAAACGGCCACAAUUUUUGAAGUUGCUCCCAUCCGCCAGACAGUCUCCUGUCCCAGAGAACUUUCCCAGAAGGCUGAAUAGUAAAUCACUUUUCAAUCUUUGAUGCGCCUCAACAGCUCCAAGUUCAAUGGUGUAUUGGCUCUACUUGGGCACACCAUAAGAACCCCAAUUUGAUCCAUAAAAAAUUUGUAUUGCCCCUAACAACGUGGUAAUCUUCUAAAAGUUUCACUACUCCAAAAGGGAAAGAACCGCGGUCAAUCUACAGUUAGAUCUGAAGCAUGUCGUGUCAGGUAGCCUUGGCGCCAAUCGUUUCCGGAAGUUGGAAAGAAAUAAGCGAGGUUAAGAGACUAAUAUAUGAAUUCAUAAGCAUCGGUGAAGGUUGCGAGCGGCCCAAUGCUAUUACUUACCUCCGGAACUUAUAUUGUGUGUUUUGUAAUAAUAGGAUUGAGUUUCAGAAUUGCACCGCCAAGAAAGAAACUACAAUUUUGGUUUUCAGAACGAAGCAUAUCUAGUCAGGAAGAUGCUCGCUACCCUUGUGAGCUGCAUGUAAUUCGUUGUAUGUCACAGUAUGCUGCGGCUGUCGGUUUUGGGCAUACAAAAUUACAAAUAAGCAACAACCCAUAAUUGAAUCAAAAGAUACAAAUACUUGAGAAAAAGUAGCUCUUUUUCUUUCCUUGCUUUCUAAAAUCAUGUUUCUUUGAGAUUGAAGCAAUCGUGUUGUCCAAGGCACACAGGCCGAAAAAUGUUUUGCAAUAACCAGUGAUGUUCCACAGAGCUGUAACAGUUCAAAUAGAGGGGAAUAUCAAAAUCUCAAAGUAGAUUGCUAAAUCUUCGCAUUCGUGGUAUGUCAAAAUAGUUCUUCACCAUGCCGUAAUAAUCUGUGACAAUCAACCGGUUCUCAAGAUGAUGUGAACCCCACUGUCAGUAUCAACAAUGUCACUUAUCUCGCCAACCUUUAGAGCAUAUGUUGCUUGCUCAAAAGGCUUCUGCAUCCGUCCCCUUCCAAAUGAGCCUGAAUUGAAGUCAUAAGCUGAAGGGGUAAGGAAGAAAGAUGAAAAAAUUCUGACCAAGAAUUCUUGAAAAAUCCAUUUCGUUACAUAGAAAACACGCACACACACACAAUCAAAAACAAUAUUAGGGUCCAAUAGUUUGAAGGUCUAUACAAAUGAAGCAGCAGAUUAAUUUGCAAGACGACUGCCGCAUAUAAUGCCCUAGGUAAAACCUAGAACCAUUUCAUUAAAACAAGAUAGAAAUUUAUGCUCAAGAACUUGCAAACUAUUCUCCACUUGCACAGAGAACUUCAAAUCUUGGACUAAAACAAAAAUUUAGUAAGCAAUAUAUUGAAAACUAUAAAGCAAGGAGGUGCAUGAGACCCGGCCUAGAGCAAAUCGCGAAUUUUUUUACAAUCUGCAAGUAAUAACAUGCAAACUAGACCAAGAAAUUCUCAGAGAUCUCCAGAAAAGCAUUACUAUUGCUAUAACAUGCAAUCUACAACAACAAAUUCCCCACCCAAAGGCAAAUACGGCAUUCAUACCAGUGAUUGGUUCUAGUGAUCAUUACCAAUUCUCGGGGUCAUAACACCAGGGAUCUCCAACGACACCCCAUAUUAGUAUUAUAACAUACAAUCUAGACCAACAGAUUCCCAGACCCAAGAGCAAUAUGUUUUUCAUACUAGUGAUCAUAAAAUGUCGCUGAUGAGGUUGAGUAGCAUGACGUUGGGCAUGGUGAAUAGUGAUAUUCAUCAUGUAAAAUGAAUUCUCAGCAUAUAUACUCUAUCUUACGCUCUAACCAACUGAAAAUCCAGAAAACUUUAAUUUGAUCCAAAAGUCAUUAAGUGACACAGCUAAUUAUUGGUUGGCAUUCUGCACUUGGGAUGGUCAUAAUCAUCUUUACUUGUGCAAUGAUACAAGCCUCAUGCUGUCACCAAGAUUGCAUAGAACAAACUGAAGAGGACACCCUGUUUAAGUAUGACAUGGAAUUAUCCAAUUAAAACCAUUUCAAAUAAUUCUAUCAGUUUAAAAUGACUAUGCCAAUUAGUUUCCACAUGCUCUAGUACAUUUAGUUUAUGUAUUUGCUUAAGCAGUACAAAUCAACAAAAGUUAGUCUAAUUGAAGAGGCAAUACCCACAACUAAAGAGCUCAAGAAAAGCAUACACAUUAUCAUGGAAUUAUCGAGUAAUACCAUUCCAAAAAAAUAACGAGAAAAGACAAUCGCUAAGAAUGUAAGUUCAGUCAAAGUAGUACUUUUUCAUGGAUGAAGAUUAUAUUGGUAUUACUAUCAUACUAACUCUGGUAAUCUUUUUGAAACACAAUGGCAGUAGAGGUACUUUUCCAAUAUUUUCUUGCUCCUAAUCCAUAUGAAAAUCAAUAAAUUCUAAUACAUAUUCCGGUGAGCUCAAUGUCCUCAAUAAGAAUCCAAAAUACUCGAUCCUUAAAAUGCAGAAACAAAUAAGUAAUUGCUGUACAGUUCCUUAUAUCUGUUUGACAAACAAAAUUUGGGGGGGGGGGGGGGGGGGAAGCAGAGACUUAUCACAAAAAAGAACCAAAAUUACCAGCCUCCACUAACACAUAAGCAUCUUUAUAACAAAUUUAAGAGCUAGAGUCACACGCAAAAUUAAUGAAAAACACCUUAAAAUAAAAAUUAAAAAAAAAUUGAACGGUUAAAUUACAUAAGCACAGCACUUAAAAAAAAAGAAGAAAGUAAAUUAAAAAGAAAAACUAAAUCAAAAUUAAAACAAAAGGGGAUAAAUACCGAGGUCUCCUCCGCGCUUAGCAGAGCUGCAAUCGGAGUAACGAGCGGCAACGUCCUCGAACUUAGCCUUGCCGGAGACGAUGUCUUGGCGGAGAGCUAUGAGCUGAGAAACGGCAGCGUCGCGAGUGGUGUUACUGAUGAUUUGGCCUUCUGGAUCUUUCCAGGAAGCUUUGCGCCGGGAUCCUUCGUGCUUUAUCAAUAUGUGGGAAGCCCUAACGCUAUCUGGGGAAGAUGAGGACGAGGACAUUUUCGUCUUCUUCUUGUGCUUUUCCGACCGAUCCGUCGAUGGAUUCGGAGCCGAAUUCUUCUUCCUCUUCCGAUCUGACUCUAUUUUUGCUGCUUUUAUUGGUUAAAUUUUUAUUCUGCGAAGAGCACCGGAAUGGAGAGAAUGGAGAAAAUGGGAAUUAACAAUUAAGCUCGAGUUUGACCGACCUCGAGUGAUGUUUUGCGCUUCACCAGUGGCGGCUCCAACUCGAAGUUCAGGCUCAAAUACUCCUACAACUCAAAUCAAAUAAUAUUAAACCAAAUUGGUCACUCGCGGCCCUUGGGCUACAUGUGUGCCUGCGCCGUCUGGUCUACAUGGGCUUUUCAGCUAGCCUGUUCCACAGCCCAAUUGCUUUUUUUUUUAUUCCUUUUUUUUUUUUGGUGGGAAGAGUUGGAAAACAAAAAAUGUUGAAGAGCAACAAGUAAAAACUGAUUUUUUGUCGUUAAAUUUGUCCUACUAAUUACUACAAUUAGAAUUUCAGCAAUAGCACCUUCUAUUUUUCUUUUACUUUUCAGCUUUCUAGAAUUAAGUAUUUCCUUCAUUACUGUUGUUUUCUGAAUAAUCUUCAAUACAAGUGAAAAUGCAUUAAUCUGACUAUGAGAUAUUAAAAAAAAAAAUAGAUAAUUGAUGGUACCCAAAAGAAAAGGAUAAAAUUUUAUUAUUUUUGCACGUCCACGUUAUUGAUGGCCUGGUGCCAGUAGCCAGUAGGGUACCCGUAACAGUGCGUAUCCACGACAGAAAAAUUAUAAUAUCCUUGAACGAAUUAACUAAUUAGACUAUAAUAUCCUUUACAAAGCAGAUAAAAUAUUGUACAAAAAAAUAAAUAAAUAAAAAUCAGUCACUCCAAUGUUGAGGAAAAAUGUCAUGAAAUUCAAAUUUGUCAUAAUGCUCAAACUCUCUCAACGAAUCGUUAGAUCUUCCAAGGAAUAAGGGGUAUAAUUUAACAAAAAAAAAUGUCGCGGCCAGCUGAACGAAAUUGAAUAAAUUUUCCUCCGAAAAUAUAUGCCUCCCAGGAUCUCUAAGUUCACCACCAAAAAAUAUUUCUUCCUAAACUUCUCUGAGGAUGGGCCAACCUUUUCUUAGGAUGUCAUUGAUCUUUGCAUGAAUACGUUUUUGCAAUCUUGGCGGACAAAGCUCUGCUGCGUAGCCAUUUAAUUUGGCUGCCAGACUUGAUUUUUCCAGCUCUUCUUCAGGCAAGUUUCCCAUUAGUUGAAGAAGAAACGGAUUCCGUUUCAGCUCAAAUUUCUGAAGAUCACAAGUCAAAAUUUUCAUUAAUGUUCCUUUCAUUCUUGUAAGUGCAUAAUGUGCCCAGUAAGAAUAUCGCAGAAGCCAGGAAUAAGAAAUAGGUUUUAACUUCUAAAGAAAACUAAGCAAAGGCCAUCCUGCACUCAUAAAUUCUGCUGGACAACCUAUUUCAAAAUCUACAAGUUACUACACAGACUCCUUCCUAUCCGUUCCGAAUAGGAGCAAAACAAAGGAGAACCUGUACUUGUAACACCAAGUUUGCUUUUGUGAUUUAUACAAGUUGAUGAAAGAUACUAACCUGAUGAUCAGGCUCUGCAGGAUAGAAUGUUCCCAAUUGCUGAAUUUGAGUGGUUACAAUGCCACUCUUUGACCUUGUCUGCUCUCUUUCUUUACUUACAGAAGCCAAUCUUGACUCUUCAGUUCCAUUUGUGAAAACGAUGGAUCUGCUUGGAAAGUUUCAACUAAGAAAGCCAGCAUUAUGACAUAGAAAAUACAACUUCAAUCCAGGUUACCAACAGUACCUGUAUUGGUUACCCACAUCAGGACCUUGCCCAAACACCUGCCUAGAAUCGUGGCUGGUCCAGAAGACCUCCAAAAGUUGUUUAAAAGUAAUUACCUUAGGAUCAUAUUCAAUCUGCACAGAAUCGAUUUCAAUAUAUAAAACAAGUGUAGAAAUAAUUGAAUGUCUAUUAAAGAGCAUGUUUUGGUAGUUGGUAAUUGCAACAGUAUCUGACUUGGGAGUAAAAUUCCAUUUUCUCUGUAGCGAGACUAGCAUGUUAUCUCAAAGUGUUCAUAAACUUUCAUAUUGCUAUACUUUUAAUUUGGAUGUCUUUUAUGCUAUUGAGGCUAUCAUAGAUUAGAUCAGGCAAAUGGUUUUCCACCUUUCAGCUAAUUCAGGUCACAAGCAAAACUCUUGGCAGGAUAAACAUUACAUUAGCUCCACAGUAGACUAUAAUAAUGAUCUGUUUCAAGGGCUUGAAACAGCUAACUAUGUCAAGAACCCAAAUCAAACAAGUGCCGACUUCAUAACAAAUUAAACUGCAACAAUAGGUUUGUUACAAGCAUUUAGUUCACAAAAUGAAGUACCACUCUUCCACUCUCACUCAGUGCUGGUGGACAACUGAGAAAUCCAGCUGAAAGGUAACAAGUGCAAACAAAGUUGAUGGGAUGACUGAAACCUAUUGUUGCAAGUCCAUUAGCAAUAACCUCAUGCACGGUCAUGUUACAGAAUCUCCAAGGCCUUCUCUAAGCAAACAGAACGAUGACGGUCAAAAACUAAGUUGCAUAGACUGGCUAAAAACAAUUCAAGAUCUUUACACUUGUAUCCCCCAAAACAUAGGAAAUACUUCCCAGUUUUUCUUGAUUAAGACUCAUUAGCAAUAAAAGAAGUUGACUAAUUCUCUAUGAUCUGCCUGGAACAACGAUAGUUCAUAGGAACAAUCAAUAUUUACCAUUUUCCUCUCCUAACUAAUUUUGUUAAUCAUAAAAAUAAAAAUAAAAAAACACAUCCCCAGUACUUAUCUCCAAUCACUCAACAUUAGAGCCUUCUCAGGCUCAACAACCGAGUAUGAGAAUUAGCAAUAAACAACUAAAAACAAAAUGUUGAUAAGUCCUCAAAUUUCAAAUUAGAUCUAAUUGUCCAACCUUUUACCAAUUCGCAAAACCAAAAGACUUAAACCGGUAAUAAAAUGCAAAUCAAUAGGCUGAAGAAAGAAGGAACGUAGGAGGUGACCUGAACAGAUUCAGCGUGAUCACCUAAGCUCCGAUACUCGGGAUUGGUUUUGGAUCCACCGGAAUAGCCGACAGUCGUACGCACUACCCCAUCCAAGCAGCCAAACACCGCUUCCGAUCUCCAGAAGCUUCCUAGAGCAAAAACCGUUGUUUGCAGCUGUUGUUGAUUGGCUGUGUCUGUAAUUGAACCCUCCGAUAACUGGGCGGAGAAUCUGAUGCCCACACAUAAAUCUGCUGCCAAUACAAUGAUUAUGGGUAAAUAGCAUGUAAGGCGCGUGGCCUCCUUCAUUGGGCUCGGAGUUGAAUCGUCGACGGCUAGAAUAAUCCGGUCGGGUCGCUGGAAUUCUUUAUAAUGUUCGACGAAGCCGAGUCCGGUUUCUCCAAAAUUCGGCUGGCUGUGAUCGGGUCAAUCCGAUUCGAAUCCACAAGUCCAUUAUAAAUAUAUUAUCUCAUUUUUCAAUUAGUUGUGAUUUCUCCGGUUAAUGCACGAAUUAAUAAUUCAUGGUUUUCCAGUGGUAUUUUUUUUUUCCUUUCUCUUUUUUAUGUUCUUUUUUUUUUUUGUCAGCUACGCUAUAUUUGUAUAACCUACUCUAUUCUAAUCUAGGGGGAGGGGAGCCUAAAGAGGCUGUUGGGGAGAAUGAUAUCUUCUUUCUAUCAAAAAGGAUUUCUUAGGCUCCAGUUACGAAUUACGACAAAGCUUGUUUAGACACCAUGGCGCUUUUUUUUUUUAUAUAUAAAUUUUGAUUGAUGUAAAGUAAAUGUAGAACCUUCCUUGUGUUGAAUUUCAUUUGUCCACAAAUUUCAAAAAAUAUUUUUUGAAUAAUAUUGGGAAUUGUUGGGAACAAUAAUAUUUUUUCAAAAAAUAUUAUAAUAUUUUUUUGAUGUAAAAAAUAUGUUUAUAAUGCAAUCAAAGAAAUUUUACAAAUAAACAACUGUUCAAACACAUUUGAAUAAGCUUUUGUUUUUGAACAAAAAUUCGUCUAGACUGUUAACAUAUUAUUGUCUUGAAUUUGCUAAGCGCCCUCCAGAGCACCUAGACUGAACCACAUCACAAACAAGAAACAAAUAGAAAAGAUCACAUACAUAUAUUGGAAUCACAGUUGUUCUCAAUAAUGUUGAUACUCACUUUACUUAUUCAAACAAAACCCAGAAAAUUUAGAUGCCUACAAUCAAAGUAAUCAAGCCACAUUUAGUUUUGGCCUACAAAAAAAAGUACAGUAAAUGUUAACUGUUGGUAUAAAAAAAAACAGGAACUAAAUCGAAAAGACCAAUUUGGUGUUGCUUCCUCAUCAGUUUCCUUGAGUUGGUUAUGCGAAUCAUCAUUGGCUUUAAACUAUCCAAAAAUGGUUGAUUUCUAGGAACCAUGAAGUUACUAAGCACACUUGUUCUCGUCCUUGUUAAGUUGUGAGGAGAAGGUAUAUAAGACCUUUCAAAUAUUCAACUAUUUCAGAUCCUCCAAGCUUUGAGCUCCCAUACACUCUAUCGACAAAAGUAAUUGGAACCUGUGAAGACAAAAAAUCGAUCUCAAAUAUCUCCAUUAACACAAUAAAAAACAAGGAGGAGAUGCAAACCAACGAAAGAGACAAAACUAAGAAGAAAUAGUUCAUCAGAGAUCUUAAAACCAAAUGACUAAAUCUCAUGUGUAGUUAGAAGCUAUAGAUAUUUGCCAAGAAGAAGAUGAUAAUCAACCCAUUACAACUAACAGACCAAAUGAUAAGCAACAAGAGAUCAAGUACCUCAGCAAUGUUGUAACCUUUUCGUGUAGCACGAACAAUCAUCUCCAUCUGAAAAACAUAUCCUUUACUCACGCAUGAGCCUAUAACAUCUUCAAGCACGGAUUUCCUAUAAAGCCUUUAGGCAAAAUAACAGUUGUUAGCUAAGGAAGUGGAAGCUUAGGCAGAAGCAACCAGCAUUUGGUAUAUUGGUUUACCGGAAAGAUCCAGUUAGGUCUGAUACACCAGGCCAAAGGAGUGUCUGCGCAAGGACAUUUGCUCCCCUGCUUGUCAAUUUGCGCAUAAGAUUCCAACCAUGCACGCCACCUCCUUUGACAUAUCGUGUUCCAGUAACUAUAUCUGCACCCGUCUCCAUCUGCUUCCUAAACAUCAAAACAUAUUCAGCUACUAUACUUCUAAAACUUGGUAAAAUUAAAUAAAAUUCUAAUACUUGAGUUGAAAGGUUCUUACUUGAUGAAGUUUGGAAGAUAUUUUGGCUGUAAAGCAAGAAAAAGAGAUGCAUUAGAUAACAAGUGAAGCAACAUAUAAGCUAAAUGAACACCAAUAAUAGUUCCACUGAUAUAUAGGCUAAAUGAACAUCAAUAAUAGUUCGAGCGGAAGCGAAAAAACAAAUAAAACACAUGCCUGCAGAAAACCUCAAACACUCACACAUUUAAUCCAAAAGCGAUGCAAUACAAAAACUAAAAAUUGACCCAUGUAGUCUCACUGUGCUCAAAGGCCCUAAUUCAACAAAAUAACUUUCUGUUAAAACUCAGUUUUCCAGUUUGUUAAACACUGCCGCAUAUUAUCUUCUUAACUUACCAAACUUACACCCAAGGUAAAAGACCAGUAUCAAAGCAGCUAAAACUAUUAUGAUUACUAAAUGCACUGUAAAAGAGACAGCUCACCAAAAGUCUAUUAGAAAUGGAAAUACACUUCAGAUCUCCCAAUCAUUUCGUAAUCUUCCACCAACCUCAAGCUCAACCCCAGAAUAAGCUGCUUUCCCCCCCUUGUUCACACCAAAUCCUAAGAAAGCGAGGAAAAAAUGUGUUUCUUUUUGUUCCCCUCCCUUCCUCUUUUUCUUUUUGGAGGCACAAAAAUUGGGGUGAGGACUAUCUUUUUUUUUUUUUUUUGGUGGCGGCCUUUUUGGUUUUUUUUUUUUUGUGGGUUUGUGGUUGGUGUUGGGGGGGGGGGGGGGGGGGGGUUUGAUAGAGCGUCCUCUUCAUCAUUCUAGUGAGUAGGAGUGCACUUACAUGGUGUGAUAAAUCAGCAUCCAUAAUGACCACAAAAUUCCCUGAGGCAUGCUUCAGGCCAUGGAUGUAAGCCGUACCUGAAACUUAACUAAAUUAAUGAUCCCUUUUGCUAGUUCAAAAACUUAAACCAAGGCCAGCCAAAGACAUACCUAAACCAAGCUUCUUAGGUCUAGCCCUCAACAGCUGGAUUAGUAGAUAGCCUUACAUAAGUAGACCUUUCAAAGAGAUAAGCAUAGGCAAAGCAUCAACAACAUUGCGAAUUAAUACUAAAGAGGACUUACAAUGCGAUCCUCUCCAUAGACAGAUUGCAGUUGUUUAACAAUAUCCUGAGUCCCAUCUGGACUUCCAUCAUCCACAACAAUAAUCUCAAAAUUGACAUUCCUAGCCAGGUAAGGACCAAUUGUCAGAUACAAGUAUAGAUCAUGAAGAGAAUGUUGUUUGUCAUUGUUUUAGUGUUAGUGUUUUUCACAUCUUUAAGUAAUAUCUAUCAUCUAAUGUCAAACCAAAACCUAUGAAGCACAAUCUCAAAUAGUUAAUUUCGUACAACAAUUUGGUCCAUGUUAUUCACAUAUUCAGUUGCAAGUCCAAAGCUUCACCUUCUUACACCUAAUGGUUCCCACACCCACUCAUAACUAUAGAGCUGAAUAUGCUCACGGCUAAUCAUCUAGAAGUUUGAGUGGACAAACAAGCAAACUUUUUCACAGCAAAUCAGUUUUAAUCAGCUUAUCCUGGGCAUAUGUAUAAGAAAAACUACACUUUGUUACCAAUUACCAGUCAUGAUUGAGAGAAAAAAGUAUCCAUACAAAAUAUGUGCUACUGUGUGCAUUGCUUAUCAAUUUUCAAACAAUUCUGAAGCUAAGAUUUUGAUACUUCGCAUGAUAUCUAAAUCAAAUACCCAGAAACACUUCUUUCCAAAUUGUAAGUCAAUCACACACACAAAAGCGCGAAUAAUAAUAAUAAUAAUAAUAAUAUAAUGCUAUAAUAAUAGAAAGACUAAUAAUAAUAAUAAAAGCGAAGAAGUGUUCCUGUGUAACAUGGAGAUAAUUAUUUCAGCAGUUCAUAGAUGAUUCUGAUGACCAAGUAAUAAGCUGUAAGAUCAACAAAAACACUUCAUUCAAAUAAACAUAAAUAAACCUUUUGAUGCAUGCAACAAAAAGAUUUAGAACGUGAAAUGAAAAAUUCACAGAAGAUAAGUGUAAAAGCCAAAAGUGCAAUGAAAGAAGCCACUAGACAAACAAAGCAGAGGCAAUGGAACAUGCAUCAUCUGUUUUAUACAUAUAUUCACAGAAAAGGAAAAGGAGAACAUGCAUCAUCAUGGAUAACUUGGUAACAAGAGAGAGAGAGAGAGACAGAGAGAGAGAGGGUACGGGAGAUGCUUGAAGAUGAGAUAAACAAGGAGAGCAAUGUUGAGGCGCUCAUUGUAGGUGGGGAUGAUUAUACUAUACUUAUUGCUAUUCUCCUUUUGCUCAUUGCCCAUAUUCUUUCUGCAUCAAAAUCCCUCCAACCCCUAGAAAGCGCAAAUUUUUAUUGAACUGGGUUAGAGAGAGAGACGGAAGGCAAAAACAAAAACACUUACAGCUAAUGCAAGUUGUAGGUAACAACUGUUAGUAUUUCAAUUCAAACUAAAGUUCCAUCCUAUUAGUUUUGGUUGUUUGUGAUAAUUCAACCCUCUAAUGGAAAAGAUCGAGCUCAUGUGUUCUUCUCAGCAGCUUACUCCACUUAGGUACUUGAUCCCAUCAACCAAAUUGGAUAGCAAAACAAUUUUGGUACAGCUUUAAAAUGCAUAUUUUUCUACCGCAUAAGAUUUUCAUUUAGCUCAUUCUUCUACUUGUCAAAUUAUGCCUCUUCAAUUCCCUUUUGUGUCAGCUGAAUUUCCAAAAGCAGUAUAACUAUCCUAAUUCCUUAUCAGUGAGCAAUAGCUCUAACAAAUUCUUAAAAUUUGACGGAAUAACACGACCGAUCUGAUUAAAAAAAAUCUUCUUUUAGUAUAAUAUGAAGGAAGCCCAUCUUUUCAAGUUCAAUUUCGAUUAGUUCAAGUAAAUUACAUAUUUCAUGCUGAGUAAGAGCAGUAAAAUACCACUGAUGUCCAAGAAUAUAUCCAAAAGGUUGGUAGCUGCUGUAACUACGUGAGACUGUUCGAAGGAGUAGCUCUAACAUAAGGUACCCAAAAUGUAUAAAACAGUCAAUAACGAUUACACAAAGAUUCCCAUACAAAUUCAGCUCUCCAUCUAAACUAACUGAAGAAGCGUAAUGAAAAGCUGGGAAAUUCAAUCAGUUUAACAACUUGAACUGAAAAUCAGAAACGAUCUAACCUUAAAGACGGCAACUUUAUAUGGUUUGGAAGCUUCAAUUAUGCGCAAAUGGCCGAGACUUUGAGAAGGCAAUUAUUGGGUUUAGGGCUUUGAAUUGGGAGUUUGAUAAUAUUAACGAGAGAAGUUCUCUCUUCUUUCGUCUCUUUCGAAAAACCGAGAAAGCAACUAUUGAUGAACGAGUGAUAGCCUCGUGGGAAUAUAAAAGUCAAUCCUUUGUUACCCGUGUUAAUUAAUGAACUGGGCGGGUUAUUUGGGCCUGGUUUCUACCCAUUUGGAUAUGAGUUUGACCCUUGAGGCUAACCUAAUGGUCACUGACAAUCUGCGUUAGAAGCUUGCUAUGCUUGUAUGUAAGUAGUAUAGUCCAAUGCGGAUUCUCCAUCUCCUCCCAUCAUCCCUUGUAAAGUUUUAGAUUAACGUUUAAUGUACAUAUAUUUUUAUAUGAUCUAACUUAAAUUUACACCACAUUAUCUGUAUUCACAUUUGAAAUCUUUUAUAUGUAUCAUAAAUGUAGACCUCCUUGUAUAUGAAACGGUAAUCCAAAAACUGUUUACUUCAUUUAUGUGCCAGUAUUACAUAACAUAUUCAUUUCUUGAAGGUAAUUGCUCUAGUGUUUUUCGAAUAAUCAACAAUGAUAACAAUAAAGAAGCAGACUACUCACAAAGAGUGACAGAGAUCAAAACAUCGAUGAUGAUCAAUUCAGCCAAAUAAUUUCAAAGAAGUUCAAAACUAAAAUUACACUAUGCUGUUAAGCUUUAGCUACACUGGCAACACCAGGAUCGCCACAGCACUAAAGUGAGAAAAAUUUGAACCCCAGUUACUGAAAUAUGGUCCACAGAUCAAUCUUCACCAAAGCUUCUUAGAACAUAAAAAGCUAAUCAAUUUCUAUAGCUCAAUGGUUAAAUUAACACAACCCUGACAGAAAAAUCUCAACUUUAGCAGAGAAAUACAACGGCAUUACAUGAAAUGAAUCCUCAAUAAUCUAAGACUUACAAAAUGGUCAAUCCUCUCUUAAUUAACCCCUAAUGCCUCAGGUGGCCCAAAUCUUUUGUGGCAUUACGCGAAUCACAACUAUUACAGGAAACAAGAAAAGGAAAUUAAAAAAAUAUAACCCAAUUUACCAAAAGAUUAAAAGGGCCAGUAUCACGGGCAAACGACAAUUAUAAAUUAAUUAAAAAAAAAAACUCAGAGGGAGAGAGAGAGAGAGAUCAAAUAAAAAGCCAGAGGAGUAUAGCACCUUCGAUUUAGAGGGAAAUGGGAGAGGUCGGAAAAUGUUUAGAGAGAGGAGAGAUGAGGAGGGUGGUGGUGGACGAUGAUGACGUUGGUCCAACACGCGUUGUCUGAAGAAAGGUUUUAAGGUGAAAAGAAAAGGAAUUAAGGGAGAGGCCCAACGAACGCAGGGUUUGUUGGUGGUAUUACUUCUCCACUUUACUCUUUAGUCUUUUCUGUGUUUCGGAUAAUUUUUACGCUACUAUAAUUGCUUUGAUUAAAAUAAUGGUACGAAGGCUAUUUCUUUUUGACCCCUAGAAGUUUGCUAAUUUCUAAAAACAGCGUGCUAUUUCACUGUAAUAAUUUAUUAAGCACGUGCAAAUUAUUGUGCUUGUGAUACUUAACACGUUGAACUCCAAUUCAUAAGUUUUCCUCUCUCCACAUCUAAUUGAUAGACCGUAUUGUAAACCAACUCUCUUGAUUUUGGUGAAAUUUUGCAUGAUCAAGUGAUUACAUCAACUAAUACUACUGAAUCUAGCAUCUUAUUUCUAUUAAUCAAGUGUAGGUUGUAGCAUUCCUGUACAACAUUUGAGUGAUACAAAAUGAGUCAAAUGAAUUUGAUAUUGGAGAAAUUUUUGGUUUUUCAUCCAUGACGAUGGGCUAAUUAAAAUUGUGAUAGCCUCGUGGGCAUAUAAAAGUUAACCUUUGUUACCCGUGUUAAUUAAUGAACUGGGCCGAGUAUUUGGGCCUGGUUUUUACCCAUUUGGAUAUGAGUUUGACCCUUGAGGCUAACCUAAUGGUCAUUGACAAUCUGCAUUAGAAGCUUACUAUGCUUGUAUGUAAGUAGUAUAGUCCAAUGCGGAUUCUCCAUCUCCUCCCAUCACCCCUUGUAAAGUUUUAGAUUAACGUUUAAUGUACAUAUAUUUUUAUAUGAUCUAACUUAAAUUUACACCACAUUAUCUGUAUUCAUAUUUGAAAUCUUUUAUAUGUAUCAUAAAUGUAGACCUCCUUGUAUAUGAAACGGUAAUCCAAAAAUUGUUUACUUCAUUUAUGUGCUAGUAUUACAUAACAUAUUCAUUUCUUGAAGAUAAUUGCUGUAGACACCAAAUUUUUGGUGUAAUUUCAUUUUUAGUUUUUUAUUUGUCGUGUUCAUUUUUAGUUUUUAGUUUCCAGUUUUAUUUUUAUUUUUAAGUUUUAUCAUAGAAUUUGUUAAAAAAGAAAAAGAAAUAAAAAGCAUUCAAAAAAUAGGUUUUUAGUUUUCUUGGAAAAAUCAUAAAAAAAGGAAAAAGGGAAAUUUGUUCACAAAAAUAUAUUUAUUUCUUUAAAUUCAAUCUUUGGGCACUUUACUUAUUUUUGUUAAGUUAUUUUGAAAAAAAGGAAAAAAAGGAAAAAAAUGAAAAAUGGAAGAUUGAAAGUGUCAUUUUGUUAUUUCUAGUUUUAUUUUUGUUUAUUCAAUCCAAUGUUAAUUAAGUUACUUUUGUUAUUAUUAUUAUUUGAUUAAAUCGGUUAGUUGUUAAGUUAAAAAAAAAAAAAAAAAAAAAAAAAAAGAGGGUUCGCGGCAGGCAGGCUGCAUUCUUUUUGCAGCUUGCCAAGGGCAUUUUCAUGCGUGCCAUGAAGGGGCAGGAUGAAGGCAGAGGCUAGCCUUCAUCCUCGCCAUUCAAAGAAGGGUUUUAGGGGAUUGGGAGAUGGUACAAAAAGAAAAAAACAUCAGCCGCAAAGGGAUCCUUAUCAGGGGAAAGAUAGAAAACAGCAAAAAAAAAAGCUAAGGGAGAAAACCAGCAAAGGGGAAGAGAGAAACACAAGCAAAAAAAAAGAAACCUACCGAGGGGACAGAGUGACGGCGGAAAGAAAAAUCUGGGCCAAAGAGAGAGGGACCAAAGAAAGGGUAAAAACUGAGGAGAAGAUAGAGAGCUUUUGGAGAGUAAGCCGACGGGAAAGGAAGAAAGAAACUGACGAGGGAGGUUUGAGAGAGUGCGGGAAGGUUGAGCAAGCGUCAGGGAGAGCUGGGAAGAAACCAUCAACGUAACAAGAAGAGGGGAAAUCGAAAAUCUGGAGGCCCAUCGCAGCAGAAAGGAGGAACUUUCCUUAGUUUCCUUUGUCCGGUGUCAGUGAUUCAUUGCUCCUCCAUUCAAGCGUUGUUUGUUCACGAUUCCAAGGAGUGAAGGUAACCUCUCAUCUUUUUCGGUCAUGAUUCAGCAGGCUUUCAUUUGACUGUUAAACCAUUUUUUUAAUUUGCUGUAUGCAUCUUGGGAGAUGGGGAACCCGUGUCAUGGCUAUCAAUCUUGGAUGUCCGCUGAUGAAACUGCAAAUUUUAGUUGAUUUCGGAUGAUACCACCAUAGAUUUCACCCGAAACCAGAAACCAUUUGUUUUUCCCCUGUGCGUCCUUCAUGUUUUCACCUUGUUUUGUCUAAAAAUGGUCUGUGUGGCAUUUGUUUUGACUGUUAGAACCCUUAAGAGUUAGAUUCAGAGUCUACUGCAACAAGCUUCAAGCUGUUGGCUUGAUGCAGCCGUUUCGUUUUUUUCCUUUUCUUUCCUUCUCUUGGUUGCUGAAUUUGUAGCGUGUCGGGCAUGUUCUUGACUUGGAAGUUUUGUUGUCAUUCGUAUGAGUUUCUGGUGCUUGAAUAUAAAAGUUGGAAAAUAGGAAGAAUCUUGGGCACUCCUGUGGCUUGCUUUCAUGUUUGCAUUACACCUAAGUUUGAGCAUAAAAAUCUGCUGCCAUGGUUCCUAUUUUCUAUCAAUUGGUUGCAGCAGCCUUUGAUUUGUUUUAUGGCUGAGGUUUGUUCGUUAAUUCUGAGUUGCGCUUGUGGGGGCAGUGGUUAAAUGGUUAUGUUUGUUGUGGUCUUAAUGGAAUGUUUGUUUCUUUUCUUGUUGUGUUUUUUUGCAAUCAGCUAUGAGCAGAAAUUUGCUGCAGUUCUCUUUCUUUUUCUUACUGAUCAAACCAGAUUUGUGAUCUCAAUCUUGUCGACAAAAUCUCAUGUUUUGAUUUGGGUCAAUAGUUUCUGUUUGAGGAAUUUGUUUGUAUGAUGAAAUUGAUGUAGUUAUUGCUGGAAAUUACCGCAAACUUGGAAACCGAAAAUGCAGCAAGUUUCAUUUUGAUUGUUUGAACUAUUUAUUUGAGGUGUUUUGAGAGUUGAUUAACAUGGUUGAGUGGAGCUGAUUCAUAGUUUAGCUUGAAUUGUGUGCUUGCUGUAAGAGGUUGCUUGGGAUUGCUGAAGUUGUGUGCGAGAAACUAUAGUAAAAUGGCCGAAGGAAUGGUUGCAGCUUUGGUCGAAAUUUGCUGAUUGCAUGCAUGCAAAUAUUUUUCCAAAAAUUGCAUUUUUAGACCUCCAAGUCUCCUCUUGUUUCACAAUGACCCAACAAAUGGAAUAAUUUCUUCAAUUAGAUCCCCGUGAUUUUUGCAGUAAUGCUUCAAAGCUCACUAAUGCUCUAAUUUAUUGCUAUUGGGUCAUGAAGUAAUUGCAUUUUAACUCACUUGACUUUCCUUUGUUCUCGGACCUUCAAAAUUCCUAAAAAUAUCUCAAUUGGUUUUGUUUGAUUAGAUUAGUGGUUGCAUUUGGGUCCUUAUCAUGUGCUUUAUUUAGGAUUUGAAUAGGUCAUGCCUUCUCCUUGAUCUUUAAGUAUCUUUUGACUAUAUUUAAGUUGUGAUUGAGGAAUGAUUUGAUGAUUUGAUGAAUGCCAUUUGGAUUAUUUAUAUUUUAUUAUUAAAGUGGUGCCUUGACCUUUUUAUUAUUUUGGAGGGUAAUUGAAUAAUUUCACUUCAUUGGGGCGUCAAUUCAAGGGAGGUACACUCUAUCCCUCAUUUGCACUACAUUUGACCUUACGUGCUCCUACGUGUUAUGUGAAUAUGCAUGUCUACUUCGCUUUCCUUACCUCCUUGCAUGCAUUUACUUGUUUUUUUGCUUUUAUUUUAAGUUUUAUGGGGUAUGUGUACACCUCUUGGCUUGUAAUAGAUAGGGCUCGGAGAGCAUCUGGUCCAUUUCCCCUUCCCCUUUAUGCUUUUAUGGGGUAUGUGUACACCUCUUGGCUUGUAAUAGAUAGUGCUCGGAGAGCAUCUGGUCCAUUUCCCCUUCCCCUUGGUUGCUUGCUUUUGUUGCUACAUGUUUAAUUGCUUUAUUAGGUUCUUGCAUCUAGUCGAGCAUGCUAAAUGCUAUGUGCUAUGUGUUUACGAGUAUUUUGGCAUGUCUACUUGCUUUCAUAGCCAUGAAUGAAUGGAAUGGAUGAAUGUACGUUUCCGCUAGUCCAACGCUAGUCGGAAUUCAUAGAAUGGGCUAGUCCAACGCUAGACCCUUAGGGAUUUCCCCUCAUUAGCAUAUCAUUUGCUUGUUCACUACAUAUCAUGCAUUUUUCCCUAGUUUUAUCAUCUGGCAUGCUCCUCGAGCCCUUUCCCCUCACUUUAGGUUUUGCAUCCCAUACUAGCUAUAGGGUUCAUUUUGCUUGAGUGUCCCCUCUUGAUAAGGGAAACGAGCGAGUGUGGCUACUCGAUAGCCUUAGCACGCUAGUUUCGCCUUCUAAUCAAAGGGAAAAUCAAGUCACGAUUUAGGUCUCCCCGUACCCAAUAUGCAUGAAUUCCCUAGGCUCAUGCAUUCUCAAUCCACUCUAUCAUUACACUUUCACUUUUGUCUCAUUUGCACACAUGCACCCUUUUAUCACUUUCACUUGCACACGAACACUUUUAUCUUCACUCGCACACGAGUACUUUCAUCUACAUUUGCACACCUUCACUCUUAUCUUAUUACUUUUAUCAUUUUUUCACUUCACAUAAACUCACACUUUCACAUGGCAUGCAUUCCACUCAUUUUUCACGUCAUUUAGGUUUAGGUGUGACCUCUCCAAAAGGAUCAUUAUUGGGCUUCACAAUUAAUGUGAUUGGCACCACUCAACCUUUGAAGAGAAAUUUCCCCCAA
This 69825-nucleotide long non-coding RNA is filed under the name Coffea arabica (coffee). RNAcentral describes it as "long non-coding RNA (CARA_LNC005214)". Lineage: Eukaryota; Viridiplantae; Streptophyta; Magnoliopsida; Gentianales; Rubiaceae. The record is from RNAcentral.